This 48967-nucleotide long non-coding RNA is filed under the name Triticum aestivum (bread wheat). RNAcentral describes it as "long non-coding RNA (TAES_LNC027939)". The record is from RNAcentral. Lineage: Eukaryota; Viridiplantae; Streptophyta; Magnoliopsida; Poales; Poaceae.
GCUUCACACCUACCCGAUGUUGAAAGAUCGGAAGGAAAAAUAUGAUAAACUUUCAUUGGAAGCCCUAUAUAAUAGUGGUGGUCUAGUUGGAUGGAACAACAAAUCCAAUCAGACUUUUUCCCGGACAAUCAACGGGGGUGCAGCCAGCCCACUUGUAUUUUCUUAUUGUGUUCAGUUGACCAUACCGAAAGCUUGCACAACAUUACACAAAUCAUUAGAUUUAGGACAACGCUAACGCCCACACGUGUGGUGGGAGCCAAACCCGUCCACACGCUCUAUAACACACAGACUACGUCAUGUCAUCGCAUGCAUGCAUGUGGAAUUUUUUUUUGAUUUUCAAUUUUUAAUAUGUUUUAUCUCUUAAAUGAAAAAUUCAAUUGAAGAUCCGUUUUCACCAUUAAAUUCCUCGCGACGAGAUCUUUGAAACUAGAUCUCAUAUCAAUAUAUUUCAACGAUUUUUUUUUGGUUAAAAGUUGUCAUGUCUAUUGCACAUGAAUUGCCAUGAUGUUUACACUAAAGUUGCCAUGUUAUGUUUCAGCUAUUUUUUUCUAUAUUAAAAAGUAAAUUUUGACAUAUUAUAAAACGGAGAUUUAAAAAACUAGACUUGCUAUGCACCAUAAACUAAAAUUGACAUGAUACAUGCACUUAAAAUUGCCAUGGUUCAUGCAAAAAAAUAAUUUCAUGGUCAAAAUACUGGAAUUGCCAUCAUCAAAAACUAAAAUUGCCAUGAUCUACAAACUAAAAUUGCCACAUGACAAUUUUAGUGUAAACACCAAGGCAACUACAGUGUAAACAUCAUGACAACUUUUGGACAAAAAAAUUUUUGUCGAAACAUAUCAACAUGGGGUCUAGUUUUGAAGAUCUCGUCGAGACGGAUUUAAUGGUGAAAACGGAUUUUUAAUUCGCUUUUUUAAUUAGAAGAUAAAAUAUUUUUAAGCAGAAAACCAAAAAGAUUUCUGCUGAUGUCAUCUGUUCAUACGUGGCAAAAUGAGUGGUGAUGGAGGCGUGUGGGCGAUGUGCAAACGCCCACACGUGUGGGCGUUAGUUUUUCCGUAGAUUUAAUGCUCAUUACAAAUUUUUCUGAGCAACCUUAAUUCUCAUUAGAGCAUCUUCAACAGAUGAUGCAAAUAGGGCAAGUGCCCAAUUUACUAUUUUUAGAGCAUUUCCAUCAGAUGAUGUAUUUGCAAAUGGUGCUGCAAAAAAUAGGGCAGCCUCAUAUUUUGGCCCAAACUGUCGUAUAUUUGCAGCAGCCACACGACUAUCGCAAAUACUCCUGCAACCACAACCUCUAACGCCGGCGGCGCCCCUAACUGGCUGACUCUGGCCACCANNNNNNNNNNNNNNNNNNNNNNNNNNNNNNNNNNNNNNNNNNNNNNNNNNNNNNNNNNNNNNNNNNNNNNNNNNNNNNNNNNNNNNNNNNNNNNNNNNNNNNNNNNNNNNNNNNNNNNNNNNNNNNNNNNNNNNNNNNNNNNNNNNNNNNNNNNNNNNNNNNNNNNNNNNNNNNNNNNNNNNNNNNNNNNNNNNNNNNNNNNNNNNNNNNNNUCUAACCGAUUCGACCGCCACAACACCCCAUUUGGCCAUCACUCCUCCGUAUUUGUCGCCGCUGCAUCGACCGUCGAGUGAGGAUGCCAUCGCUCCGCGAGCACUAGGGCUUCCGUGACGUUUGCCUACUGCAGUUCGGACGCUAUGUCGCCGAAAUCUCAUGUGACAGGUGGCGGAUGUGGCUCGGCACCAAUGACACACGAAGCUCGCCGUCCGCGCGUACGAUCUCGCGGCUUGGAGUUUUCGUCAGCCGAGGUUCGAGCUCAACUUCUCGGAUGUUCCAAGCAUCAGGGAGGCAGAGUUUCUCGCUCCCGAGGAGCGUUUUGUGUCCCGUGAAGAGAAGAAAGACCCCCUAGUCUUUGACUAGAGCACCACCUAUGGGAGUGGUACAAUGGCUAUGGCAAGGUUGGCCGAGGCUAAUACGCACCAUGUGGAGGCGGAGCACAAAUACUUCGCUGGGAGGAACAGGACGCUCAAGAAGGAUGACGGGGUAGGACCGUCAUUGCUGAUUAAGGUUGAGUUGGACAACGAUGUUGAGUUGGACGAUGUUGGCUGGGACAUGGUCGGGCUCAAGAGUAGUUUUAUGACAAGUAGUGUAUCUAUCGUCGACGUACUGUUAUUUUCAUGUUUGAAGUUAGAACUCAAUGUUUAAGACUGAAAAUUUAGUACUUUGAAAUAUGCAAUGACCAUGUUUAUUUUGGUGCCCUGUUAUUCGACUGCGAUCGAACAUUUUCUGCUGCCCAAAAACCUUCUAACUCAUGACCUAAAUCGAAAUAAUUCUGUAAAAUCAGCACUACAGUGCUGAAAAAUCUGGGAAACUUUCACACUUUUUUGAUAAUCUAUUUAAAAAUACAGUAGAAAUUAAAUUCCGUAAAAUAAAACAGUUUGAAUUCCUAACGUAUUUUCAAAUAUAAUUUUCAAACUUACCACUAGAGCUUCUGUAAAAAUUUCUAUGCACCUUGUUAAAGUUAAAUCUAGCAUAACAGUAAAUACUUGGAUCCUCCUACUUUAAUUAUUUGUUCAUUUGUAAGUGUGAACUGUUCUUAGAUUAGUCAGCUUGGUACCGUUGAUUUUAUAUUUUCUUUUAAUCUUAUAUGAAUUUUUAAAAUUUUGGUCAAAAUUUAACAAAAUAGGGGCUGAAAUAAAAUUUCUACUGUAUUUUUAAAUAUGUUUGAAAAAAGUGUGGGAUUUUCCCUGGUUUGAUAGAAUGGUAGAGUCGAUGUUAGAGAAUGUUUUCAAUUUUCUCUUGACACUUCCAAAUUUUGGUCAUAUUUUACAAAAAAUGGGUGGUGAAUUUUUACUGUAUUAUUAAAUUUAUUUGACAACAAAGUGUAUAACUGUCCCGGAUUAGUCAGCAUGUGGUGCUGAUUUUACUGAUAUUUUUAAUUUUUUUUCUGGACACUUUGAAUUUUUGGUCAAAAUUUGACCCAAAAAGUUGGUCAAAAUUCGGUUAAAUACCUGACAUGUAUGCGAUAGCCACCUUUAGUUCGGGAUAAUUUAAACGGAGGUGAGAGUUCAGGGUUAUGUUCGGACCAAUACUGAAAUUCCGGGUUGUAAAUUAAACUAGGGUUUGAGCUCAGAGUUAAAAUAUGCACUUCUUCCAAUCUAUAAACCAACGACCCAUCGGAUCAUCCUAUACUGUAUGUGUACUUGUGAACGGUUAGCCACGACCACGACCCGAUAAACCCUUCAGACCCUUUGGAGCCACUUGUCCAUGGAGUGCAAUCCUUUUGAACCAUCAUUGAUGCACUAGGACACUAACUCACGCCACGGCUUCAACUCGCCCACCAGGCUCAACCAGAAGUUAUCUUGCACCAAUAGCGAGAUUGAGUAGGCUCAAGUUGGGAAUGACAUACCACCUUAUUUCUUGGGCACGCAAACGCUAUCCCACGACACCAUGCAAUGUCAACCAUGGACGUCAUUAUACUGUGUUGGGAAGGGCUGAUCGAUUUGGGCAGCGCAGUUUGCGCCGAACAAGAUCCGAAUCCUCGACGGAGCGCCAGAUGACAAGGGAUGCUGCACUGCAAUCUCACUGACGAAUUGGCUGAACCACGGUAAGGCCUGCAUUUGGAUUUGUUUGAUUGGUCACAAAUUCUAGAAAAAAACAGGUAAGAAUAGCAGCGCUUAAAAGCCUACAUUGCGCUUGUAUUCCACACGACCAAAUGACACAAUUUUUUUAGCACAGUAUAAUAGCAAAUGCUCACAUACAUGCACAUAUACUCACCCCUAUAAAAACACGCACGCACAUCCUAUCCCUAUAAGAUACAAUCACCGUAUAAAAGCACACUCGCAUACCCUACCCCUAUGAGCACAUCCGAGAUACGAAACCGGCACAAACCGCACAAUAUAAUCAUGCUACAAGAUUAAACAUUGCCGGUGUGUAUCCCACUGCCGGAACGUGUGGUGCUCGUUGUGUAGGUGCUAGAAUGCGUGGUGCCUGCGCCGUAGGUCCCACCGCUACCGCUGCUGAUGGUCGUUGUUCCAGUUAUAGAUUCAGAUAAGAAGCUGUCAACCGGCGAAACAAACAUGGCAACAGGCAUCUUGGCGGGCAGGCUCGGCAACGGUGCCUCAGUCCUCAGCACGUUCAUCGCCUGCCUUAUGGACGGUCUCAGGCUUCUAUUAGGGUGUGUGCACCAAAGCCCGACGAUUAUCACACGCUGGAUCUCUUGGCUGUCAAGCUCGUCAUUUAGUCGAUGAUCUACUGCGUCAAGGAUCCUUCCAGCGCCAUAUAAUUCCCAAAUAAAUUGCACUAGGUGCAUGGUGCAUGCUUCAUUUCCCCGCAGGACCAGGAGCGGGCGCCGGCCGCAGGCAAUCUCGAGGAUGACCACGCCGAAGCUGUAGACGUCAGACUCGGUGCUGGCUCUUCCGGAAGCCAUGCUCUCCGGGUCCAUGUAGCCCAUUGUUCCGGCGAGCAUAGUGGUGUGUGAUCCUUGCCCGUGUUGCACGAGUCUUGCCAGCCCAAAAUCACCGAGCUUCACAUUGAAGGAUGCAUCCAACAUCAAGUUGCUUGGCUUGAUGUCUCGGUGCAGAACACAUUGCUCCCAGUCCUGAUGCAGGUAUAAAAGGGCAGACCCUAUGCCAAGAACUAUCUCAUACCUAUUAUAAAGAUAAACAAGGCAUCACACUAGAAAUCUCAUCCAAGGUGUGGAGUAAGGCAGUAAGCAGAUGUACAUUAGUUGUUGUGCGGAUACCUGAGUGGCCAUGAUAGGACGGUCUCCGGGUUGUGAAUGUGAGUAUCGAGGCUGCCAUUCGGCAUCAGCUCAUAGACAAGCAAAAGCUCACCGCCGCCGUGGCACCAACCGAUGAGUCGCACGAGGUUGCGGUGCCUUAACCGGCUUAUGAUUGUCACCUCGGAGACGUACUCCUUCUUCCCCUGUUGAGAAGUCUUUGAAACUCUUUUUACUGCAACCUGAAGGUCAUCAUCCUUCAAAUACCCGUGGUACACUGACCCGAAGCCCCCGUGGCCGAGUUUCCCCUCAUCGGAGAAAUGCUUUGUGGCGAUAGCGAGCUCCUUGUAGCGGAACCUCCUGGGCCCCAUGCCCUGAUCGAACUCCUCUUCCAUGGGCUGCUCGUCGAACAAUUGGUUUUCUUGCUCUCUCGCUGACUUCUUUUGCCUCCUACGGCGCAAACCAAACCAAAGAGACAUACCAGCGAUGAUUGCGAACGCGAUGGAGCUGGCUGAGGCGCCCACUAUCAGCGCGCUUCUCCUGCUGCUAGCCGGCACGGUUGAGGAGGGUGAUGGUGAAGCUAAUUACCAAAGGAAACACCGCGACAGAAGGUAUAACUUUUCAUUUCACUGAUUAAAUCGUACUCCUACUUCGCACGAAGAUACUCAAUGCAAAUUACCUGGUGGCAGUGGUGUGGGUGUGACUGAUGUCCGUGGCGAUUUAGGCUGCUGCGGCGGCUCGGCUACUGGAAAGAUGGUGAUGGGUAUGGGGAUGCCUACCGAGUACCGCAUGUAGCAGCUAUACCCCAUGGAGCCUCUAUAUGUUCUGUUUAUAAGUUUCCACACUGACCAUAGGCUUGAAUAAGCUUGAAGAUGACCAUUGAAGCAGCUGGUGCACUGACUGGCGUUCAGGUCUCUCGUGCACUGUGCCAUGCCGUACAUCUCCUGCUCCAUACCUUGCGAGUCUAUGUACCGCUCGCUUCCGUUCGCCAACCGGAGGGAGGAGCUGCCAGCCUCCACCGUGAGUCGGCUCAUCAGCUUCCAUCGAGUAGCGUUCACGCUUGGCGCCGCGUCGAACACCUCGGCGUUGGCUGCCCCGUCGUAAUCAUUCAUGACAAAAGUGUCAAGGCUCGCGACGGAGAAGAAGGACUGGUUCGAGUACCGCAGCACGCACACGACGUCGUACCAGGCCCUCGCCACCCGGCUGAACGGGCACGCCUGCUGUAUGCCGGCGGUUGCGGCUCUGAUGCAGUUCUGGCAAUUGGUCCAGUUGCCGUCGGCGUAGCACAUAACGAGGCCGAAGACCUUGUCAGGCGCCUCGCCAGCCGUAAGGCUGGCGAAGCCGCCGUUGUCGAUGGCGCUGACCAAGAGGCCAUGCAUGAGCUCGGCGAGGUUCACCUGGUACGGGCUGGCCAUGGUGUAGUUGUCCUUGUUGGAGCAGUCAGGAUAGUCCGUCGUGGAGAACUGGCCAUGUAAUCCGCUCAAGGAGGAAACUACUGAGAGGAGGACUAAAAGGAAGAGCCGAGCCAUGGCCCAUGGCUUUGCUCGACCAAUUUUCCCGCUUUUAAGGAUCCAGUUCCAACAGCUUUGACUUCUACAUAGUACAUACCCUCCGACGUGCACACAUCACCCUCGCCGAGGUGAGUUCUUUUAAUGUAAGACAAGGGCCGGACAAGUCCUUAUUAUUCCUUUCUGGGAUCUUGCUGGAGAUUGGUUGGAAAAAGAUAUUUAGAAAUGUCGUGCUAUGAACACCUCCAUAGGACUGGUCAAUGGACCAAGACAUAUUUUUCAAUAAAGGAUGCAUUUUAAUGGCUCAAACGAAACAUCAAGAGAAAGAAAAAUAAUAAGCACACACUCGGCCUUUUUCAUAGUUACUACCUCCACUACUAGAAAAACUAUUUUACGUGAGACACAUUAAUCCCGAUUUAUAAAUGAACCGGCACUAGUUGUAUCAUUAGUCCCGGUUCGAACAGCUAUGCAUUAGUCCCGGUUCAUUUGUGACCUAUAGUACCGGUUGGAGCGUAAAUUGGGGGGGAGGGGGGGCGCUGCCACCCGCAGUGCACAAUGUUUAGUCUCACCUCGCUAGUUGAGAGGAGCUCGCACCGGUUUAUAAGCCCCGCCGUGGCUACUGUGUCAAGCUCCUCUCCAAGCAGGCCUUUGUGGGCCUAUUGCAAGUCUUCUGCCCUGUGGGCCUACUGGGCCGUAUGGGCCUGCAUCCUGGCUCAACUAGAGGUUGGGUUUCUAGUCGUAUGCAGGCCGUGCCGGCCCAGUAGGUGGGCAGUUUUUGCUUUAUUUCAAAAAAGAAAAUCGACGCGCCUCAUGCCAUGUGGUUGGCCUUUGGUCCCGGUUCAUGUUGAACCGGGACUAAAGGAGGGGGACCUUUAGUCCCCACCCUUUAGUGCCGGUUUUCAGAACCGGUACUAAAGGUCCUUACGAACCGGUACUAAAAGUCGUUUUUCUACUAGUGCUCCUUCCUGGUUUAUUGGUCCCCUUAGUAUUUAGUGCCAAAUUUUGAGUAUAGAUUUAACUAAGAGAAUAAUAAUGCAUGUCACUAAAAAUUAUAUUGUUGGAUUCGUAUUUGAACAUGGUUUCCAAUGAUAUUAUUUUUGGUUACAUGUUAGCAUUUUAGUAGUGAAAUUUAAGGUCAAAUUUUGACACAAAAUGCGAGGGGGACCAAUAAAUCAGGACGGAGGUAGUAGAAUAUACAUAGUCAACACCAACAUACUUAAAAUAGACACGACCGUCAUAUAAAACCAAACCUAUGCGCACGCGAGGAAAAAAGAAAAAUAUCCCAAACAAGCAGAUUCGUGAUUGGCAAGCUAUAACAAUGACCAUAUCCAUGUCAACCAUCUCAUGACACCAUAUAUAGACGAUGAAGUUCUUCAAUAGCAACGAGCUCAGAAAGGGAUCAACGCUCAACGCCUCUGUCACCGGAUCCAACCAUCCAAGGUCAGAAUCUAGAUUUUCACACUGAAGAACCAGUCCGAACAUAUAUGAGUAAUGCCUUGAACAAGGUAACAACUGAAAAACAUCGUCAUUCUCUGGUAUAACCAACUCAAGUUAGACAUAGGCUUUACCUCGGGAGUCCUUUUACAGUGCACCCAGUCGAUAUGGACCGUCCGCUGGACUGGAUUGGACGGUCCAGAUCCAAUGCAAUACGUUGAUGUCACGUGUAUUAUAAUAGAGCAUGAGGGGAAUUUUCGGAAGAGUUUUUUUCAAACUGAUCAGGUAUUCCCUCUCAAAUAUUUCAACGGUAUUCUCGGUACAAAUUUUAGGGAUAUUUUUGGUAUGAUUUUCAUCCAGCUCAUUCCUGUCACUGUGUCGUCGCUAGGGUUUGACUCCUUGCCGGCCGUAGGGUUUCAUCCCUCGCCGACAGGAUCGAGCCGCGCGUCGCGGCCCCUCCCUUCCUCCACUCCAAUCCCCUCGCGCUCUGGCACCUCCUCUUCACCAAAGAAAAUGAGAAGAGGAUGUAUGCCCUCCCCACGGCGGUCGCUAGCAAAGAUUCGGCGCCAUCCCACCUCCCAGUCCUCUAUGCGUGUGCCUAUAGCCACGAGGUGAGUUACUACCUCUUUCCCACUCCCCACGUGGUUGUUUGCAUCCUCUAGAUCACCUCUCCGCCAUGCCCGCAAGCAAAGGUGGUUGGGCAUCUAGAUGGACCAUGUUCUCAUUGCUGGUGGGUGAUAACCCACAAGUAUAGAGGAUCACAAUAGUUUUUUAGGGUAGAGUAUUCAACCCAAAUUUAUAGAUUCGACACAAGGGAAGCCAAAGAGUAUUUGCAAGUAUUAGCAGUUGAGUUGUCAAUUCAAUCACACCUGAAGAUUAAAUAUCUACAACAAAGUGAUUAGUAACACAGUAAUGUGAUAGUUUGAUAGCAGUGGUAACAAUAGUAGUAACAGUAAUAGUGAUAUCAAAGAUGUAGCAAGUGUAACAGUAGCAAUAGCAAUCGUAACUUAGCAAGAACAAUAUGUGGGAAACUUGUAGGCAUUGGAACGGUGGAUUCGUUGGAUGAUAUUAAUCAUAUAACAUUCAUAACCUAGGGCGACACAGAACUAGCUCCAGUUCACAAAUAUAAUGUAGGCAUGUAUUCCAUAAAUAGUCAUAUGUGCUUAUGGAAAAGAACUUGCAUGGCAUCUUUUGUCCUACCCUCCCGUGGCAGCGGGGUCCUUAAGGAAACUAAGGGGUGUUAAGACCUCCUUUUAAUAGAGAACAGGAAUAAAGUAUUAACACAUAGUGAAUACAUGAACUCCUCAAACUACAGUCAUCACCGGAAAGUAUCCCGAUUACUAUCACCCCGGGUUUACGAAUCAUAACACGUUGUAGGUGCAUAUGACUAGAAAGAUUGGAACUAGAAAAUAGAUAUAAUGGUGAAAACAUAAACGGUUCAGAUCUGAAACCAUGGCACUCGGCCCCUAAUGACAAGCUUUAAGCAUGGCAUAGUCAUAGCAACAUCAAUCUCAGAACAUAGUUGAUACUAGGGAUCAAGCACUAACAAAACUAACUCGAUUACAUGAUGAAUCUCAUCCAACUCCUCACUGAAUAGCGAGCCUACGAAGGAAUUACUCACUCCCGGUGGGGAGCAUCAUGGAAUUGGCGAUGAAGGAGGGUUGGUGAUGACAAAGAUCGAAAAUUCCCCUCUCCGAAGCCCCGAACGGACUCCAGAUCUGGCCUCCCGGUGAAGAACAGGAGGUGGCGAUUACUCUGUCUCAUGAAACGCGAUGAUUCUUCCUCUCCGAUUUUUUUCUCCAAAAAUAGGAUUUUAUGGCGCUGGAAUUAGGGUCAGUGGGGCCACGAGGUGGGCACAACCCACCAGGGCGCGCCUGGAAGGGGGGCGCCCUGGUGUCUUGUGCUCAGCCAGGGCCCCCCUCCGGUGGUUCUUGGCUCCAGUAUUUUUCAUUUAUUGUAAAAUAAUUCUCCAAAAAGUUUCAUUCCAUUCCUAGAACUUUUAUUUCUGCACAAAAAUAACACCAUGAUAGUUCUGUUGUAAACGGUGUUAGUUUGGGUUAGUUUCAUUCAAAUCAUGCAAAUUAGAGUCCAAAACAAGAACAAAGUGUUAGGAAAAGUAGAUACGAUGGAGACGUAUCAGCGGGGUACUGCGGGGCUGGAUUAAGUCAGACGGUCUCGACCAACGAGCCCCAUUCGUGCGACCUCAUCCACAUCAGGGCAACAUCUAUGUAUCUUCGACUGUUGCAUAUGUACAGUUGUACAAUUAAUUCAAGCUUUAUUCUUUCAAUUUGGCUGAUAGGUGAGACCUUGGAUUUGGUCAGGGAGAGAUGUUAAUCUAUUAAUUUAGGAAUGUCCUAUAAACAAUUCAUAGCUUAUGUUGCUCAAUAUUUAUGAUGCUCGCUUCUUCCUGUGCAAUUGUUGGACUAGGUUCAACAGACUUGGGGAUGUGGUUUAUAAAAAAAGAUUCAAAGGGGAUAUCCAACAUUGGAGGAUUAGUGUAAAUUCUUAUUAUGAUGUUUUACCCUUGUGAAAUAGAGAGAAAUGAUCCUUGCAAAAACAGAGAGAGAGGAAUGAGCAUUGGAUUGUUAAAAAUUCAGGCGUUUUAUUCUUCGAUGUUAAGUUACUCGCAACGUUUGUUAGCUAGAUACAUGUGAUAAGGUGAGUACAAGUAGUAAUUUUUCCUUUGUUUUGCAGAGCUAUCACACAACAUGGUAUGUGAUUCCCUCAAGCAGGAUGGAUGUACCAUUGCCACCCUGCUAUGCUCCUGAAGGUGCCUACAGCCCCCGCGAUCCCUUCAAUUCAGGGCACGCUCUUCCAUGCCACAUCAUGGUCGUUGCAGCACCGGCAUGCCUCUUUCGAUAUGUGCUUUACGCCUGUGAUCCAAUGCUCUACUUUAUAGGAUUUGCGACCUACCUACGAGACAUUAGUUAUGCCAUUUCCUGGAUAGCUGGUAUUGAGUGUUCACUCAUAUAAUAUUUUACCUUCUGUUGCAUUGUGAGGCUAUGCUCGUGCUCAUACAUUUUUCCUCUCGUAUAUGUGUGAGCAAAUUUUAUUGAAACAUGUCUGCUCCUGUUCAAUAUGGGACGACACUUGCAAUUAGCAAUAGAAAAUUCUAAAAAUAAACCAAUCAUAAAAUAUUAUUCUUCUAGGGUUGCUCGUGCCCUGUAAUUAAUCUUGUCCAGACCCUGACAAUUCAUAUUGGAGUUUCACUUUCCUAAUCUUGAAACAACUGUCACAUUGUUGUAAAAAAGCAAAAAUAGAUUUCUAGGUGCUCCCAUACAGACCAAAUUUAUUUGAAGCAAAGUCUUGAAACCAGUAUUAUUGAAGUUUACAACUUGAGUAAUCCACAAUAGACUAAGAAAAUGGCUAUGAAACAUUCUUGGGGACUAAAACCCAACCACACCCUACUCUAUCGCUUUAUAGCCAAGUGUACACUCCACAUGUAAUAAUUAACCUCUGCUGGACUAACUGCUUGCAUCUUCAUCCACAGUUGCAUCCAAUAGGCUAGCAUGGUGCAUAUUGAACCUUUUCUUGUAUUUCAAUUUGUUGUAGGGUGAAUCGACAAGCACAACAGGUACCUCUCUUCUAAAUUUUGUCGAUGUAGUCCUCCAUGGGAGGAUAUGUUAGUAUUGUUCUAUAGUGCCAAAUCUUCUCCUGUAAAUAAUUUGAUAUUCUUCAACAUGUAGAGUGCACAAUAAGAACUGCAACAUUUUAUUCUGUUAUCAGCAUUACACGUAUUGACAAUGAAAAACAAAAACAAAAACAACAGCUAUAUUGUUGACUAGCGUUUCAUCAGGUUUUGGCAUGACAACAAGCUUUACUUGUCAUUGUGUCAUGUUAAUGUCUUCACAUGGAUUGCUUUCUGGUCCAUUGAUCCACAUCGUUGCUCACAGAUGUGCUUCCAUCCCAUGAACCUGCAAGACCAUGGGAUGAGAAGUUUCUUACAGUUAAUACUUAGGUAGGAUGUUAAAUCCUUUGUUUUAAUGAAUGUUGUUAAAAUUCUCACCAUGUUAUUUACUUCUCUGUGUACCAUACAGUGGAAAAGUGAAUCAAGAACCUGGAUCUCCUGCCUUCUGGGGUUUACGACCACAAGGAACCAGUGGAUGGUUAAAGUGAUUGUAGGUAGGAAAACCUGGAGUGCACAGAAAAUUAGACGUUUAUAGUAAUAAGAAAAAGAAAUGUGCUUUGUGUCGUGGUUAUAGCACCACAUCAUGUUUCAGGUAGUUGGUGCCUUUUGUUGUUCCAUGAAUGCCCGCCAAAGCGUUCUCGUGGCACUUAUCUAUCCUAUCAUCUCUUUCGAGCAUAGCGCCAGCCACCCUCUCAAUGUAAACCAGUUGCCUGUUCCUUGUCUCAAGCGUGUCAUCAUUAGACAUGAACCGAAUCGCAACAUCAACCACCUACAACAAAGAAUCAAGUUAAUUGUAUUGUACGAAUGAAAAUUGAUAAACUAUUUUAUGAAAUAUCUUAGUUCUUCACCCAACUAUAUGCCAUCUUCGGCCACAUCUUUAUGGGUGAGGCACUGCAAAUGCUUCGAUAGCACAACAAUGUCAUCAACUAACACCAUUUGUUUUUCAUGAUCUGUAGUGUUGAUCAAUUCGGCCACAAAAUCCUGUCGAACCUCGUCUAGCUUGUCCCUUGAAGGAUUUUUUUAAUUUGCUAGAGCCGAUUUCCCUCUUUCUAUUAUUUUUGUCCUUGGGAUCAUUCGUAGACUCUCAUGGAUUGUUUUUCCUAUUUUUUCAGUAUCGUACAAUACGUAUUUGUCAUUCUUAAAUAAUACUGAUACCACCCUUUUCCUUCCGCUCGCAUGAUUUGGUGGCGUCGAUUCAACCACACUUACUUCUUGUUGCUUUCAAAAGGAUUCAUCAUGGUUCUCAUCAUUUUUAAAGGAUGGGGUUCUUCACGCACGAGUGAUCAAGCUUUGUAGAGUGGUGCUUACUCCGUCUAUUGAACAGAUCCUGUUAUACGAAAUAAAGCAUGUCUUAGCCUUUAGCAGAUUCUUACUCAGUUUAAUGUCGAAUGUGCAUCACCUGGAAAGCAUCAAGGCUUGUGUUGGCUUUGGAAUGCUUUUGUGAAUCAAAACUAGGACCACCCUGCAAAGCAUCCACCUCUUUAAAAAGCUUUGUAAUACCCCUGAGGCUCUCCGUGACAGUUACGGCAGCUCUUUCGAAUGCUUCAUCCUAUACAUGGAAGGUCCAAUGUUAUUUGUGAAACGAAAAUGAUUGCUUCGUAAUUUAAUUAACAUGCGUAUGGCAAAAUCUUCAUCAAGGUUCUUCAUGUGGGCCUCCAUGUCAUCGUUUUGUAUUCACUGGUUAGAAUGCUCCUUAGCAGGGACCUCUAGGACAUCCUUUUGUUUUCCCUGGCCAGAACCAUUCUCAGCAUUCUCGGCAGGGGCCUCCAUUGGGUCUGAAGCUGCCCCAAGGUCAGAAAGAUGUAUGUCCUCCACUCCUGGGAAUAUUCCAUUGUGGUUGUUCUUAAAAAAACAUGUUAGUAUGGGGUGUUUUCAUAGUAAACUUAUUUAGAAACAACCUUGUAUACGUAAAUUUCCAAUUAUAAUAAGGAAAAGGCUAUCGAUCAACCGACGGAUCUAGCGCGGGUGUUCGCCGCCUCCCUUGGUCGACACAUGGCCUGCUGGACCGCACAUGUCUCUCUCUCCCUCCGACGGGCUCGCGGCGACGGUGAUGUUUUGUUUCGCAACAUCUACUAUAUUGUAAGAAUGAUUUCUGCAACUUCAGUUAUGUUGCAUAAAUUUCUUCUGUAACACCAUAUAGAGAUGAAGACGAAGGAAAAAAUCUGCAACAUCACCUCAGUUUUGAAAAAUUUCUGCAACAAUACCUUUGUUGCAAAAAAAGUGAAGAAAUGAAAAAAAAAUGUCCAACACGACCUGAUACGUCUCCAAUGUAUCUAAAAUUUAUGAUGCAUUCACGCUAUUUUAUUAUCUGUUUUGAAUGAUUACGGGCUUUAUUAUACACUUUUAUAUUACUUUUGGGACUAACCUAUUAACCGGAGGCCCAUCCCAUAUUGUUGUUUUAUUGCCUGUUUCAGUAUUUCGAGGAAAAGGAAUAUUAAACGGAGUCCAAAUGGAAUGAAACCUUCGGCAGCGUGAUUUUUUGGAAGAAUAUGAUCCGGGAGACUUGGAGUUCAUGUCAGAAGAUCCUCGAGGAGGCCACGAGAUAGGAGGGCGCCCCCCCCCCCCUAUUGGGCGCGCCCCUGUCUCGUGGGCCCCUCGAGCACCUCCCGACCGACUUCUUUUGCCUACAUAAGCCUACGUACCCUAAAAACAUCAAAUAUCAAGAUAGAUCGGGAGUUCCGCCGCCGCAAGCCUCUGUAGCCACCAAAAACCUCUCGGGAGCCCGUUCCGGCACCCUGUCGGAGGGGGAAUCCAUCAUCGGUAGCCAUCUUCAUCAUCCCAACGCUAUCCAUGACAAGGAGGGAGUAGUUCACCCUCGGGGUUGAGGGUAUGUACCAGUAGCUAUGUGUUUGAUCUCUCUCUCUCUCGUGUUCUCGACUUCACACGAUCUUGAUGUAUUGCGAGCUUUGCUAUUAUAGUUGGAUCUUAUGAUGUUUCUCCCCCUCUACUCUCUUGUGAUGAAUUGAGUUUCCCUCUUGAAGUUAUCUUAUCGAAUUGAGUCUUUAUUUGAGAACACUUGAUGUAUGUCUUGCCGUGCUUAUCUGUGGUGACAAUGGAAUAUCACGUGCCACUUGAUGUAUGUUUUGGUGACCAACUUGCGGGUUCUGCCCAUGAACCUAUGCAUAGGGGUUGGUACACGUUUUCUUGACUCUCCGGUAGAAACUUUGGGGCACUCUUUGAAGUACUUUGUGUUGGUUGGAUGAAUCCGAGAUUGUGUGAUGCACAUCGUAUAAUCAUGCCCACGAAUACUUGAGGUGACAAUGGAUAAUCUAGGUGACAUUAGGGUUUUGGUUGAUUUGUGUCUUAAGGUGUUAUUCUAGUACGAACUCUUGAAUAUAUUGAUCCGAAAGAAUAACUUUGAGGUGGUUUCGUACCCUACCAUAAUCUCUAUGUUUGUUCUCCGCUAUUAGUGGCUUUGGAGUGACUCUUUGUUGCAUGUUGAGGGAUUGUUAUAUGAUCUAUCUAUGUUAUUAUUGUUGAGAGAACUUGCACUGGUGAAAGUAUGAACCCUAUGCCUUGUUUCCUAUCAUUGCAAUACCGUUUAUGCUAACUUUUAUCAUUAGUUACCUUGCUGUUUUUAUAUUUUCAGAUUACAAAUACCUUUAUCUACCAUCCAUAUUGCACUUGUAUCACCAUCUCUUCGCCGAACUAGCGCACUUAUACAAUUUACCAUUGUAUUGGGUGUGUUGGGGACACAAGAGACUCUUUUUUAUUUGGUUGCAGGGUUGUUUGAGAGAGACCAUCUUUAUCCUACGCCUCCCACGGAUUGAUAAACCUUAGGUCAUCCACUUGAGGGAAAUUUGCUACUGUCCUACAAACAUGUACACUUGCAGGCCCAACAACGUCUACAAGGAGAAGGUUGUGUAGUAGACAUCAAGCUCUUUUAUGGCGCCGUUGCUGGGGAGGUGAGUGAUUGAAGGUAUAUCUUUAGAUCUUGCAAUCGAAUCUUUUUAUUUCUUGUUUUAUCACUAGUUUAGUUUAUAAAAGAAAACUACAAAAAAAUGGAGUUGAGUUUGUCUCGUACGCUUCGUCUUUUUAAUAUCUUUCGUGAGUAUGAUGGAAAGGAAAAUUGUGCUCAAGUGCUAGAAGAAGAGUGCAUUAAAAUGCUUGGUACUGAAUCUUUGAAUGAUGAGCAUGAUUGCAAUGUUGUUAGUAUAAACUCCUUGAAUAUCCAUAGUACUAAUGAUGAUUGCUCUAAUCAUGAUGAAAAUAUCCCUUAUGAGCAUGUCAAAUUGUGGAGUGCAUGUUUGCAUGAACACACCAAAUAGAGAAGAUAUAUAUUGCAAGAGGCAUAAGCAUUUAGAAACUAAAUUGUUGCAAGAAAAGUUAAAUGGGAAUGCUGAAAAUUUACACUUCCUCUGCCGUACUUGUGAACUAUGCAAUGAACGUGGUCAUCUACAUCUCCUAUGCAAAUUAUUUCAUGAUCGAAUCGUGUCCACAAAUUGAGAUGAUUUGAUCUCCCUUGCACAUUACAAUGAACUUAGUUUACUUUUAGGUUAUGAGGAAUUGAAACAUUUAGUUAAGGACCUUCCAGAAUUUGCCCAUACACUACUAGAAAAACACCUACUAAUGGCGCACCUAAUAUGGACAUUAAUGGCGCAUCUGUGGUGCGCCACUAACAGCACGCCAUUAGUAAUUUUUACUAAUGGCGCACCAGUGGUGCGCCAUUAGUAUCUGGUAUACUAAUGGCGCACCACUNNNNNNNNNNNNNNNNNNNNNNNNNNNNNNNNNNNNNNNNNNNNNNNNNNNNNNNNNNNNNNNNNNNNNNNNNNNNNNNNNNNNNNNNNNNNNNNNNNNNNNNNNNNNNNNNNNNNNNNNNNNNNNNNNNNNNNNNNNNNNNNNNNNNNNNNNNNNNNNNNNNNNNNNNNNNNNNNNNNNNNNNNNNNNNNNNNNNNNNNNNNNNNNNNNNNNNNNNNNNNNNNNNNNNNNNNNNNNNNNNNNNNNNNNNNNNNNNNNNNNNNNNNNNNNNNNNNNNNNNNNNNNNNNNNNNNNNNNNNNNNNNNNNNNNNNNNNNNNNNNNNNNNNNNNNNNNNNNNNNNNNNNNGAGGUCGCCGGAGAGGAGGGAGAAGAAACCAUGAGGGGAGGGGAGGGGAGGGGAGGGGAGGAGGGAGGAGGGAGGAGGAGGUCGCCGGAGAGGAGGAGGAGGUCACCGGAGAGGAGAAGUAUGGUGGAGGAGAGAAGGGAAGAUGAAAUGAAGAGAGGAGGAGAGGACCAGCCAUAUAUACGGCAUACUAAUGGCGCACCGCGGGCAGGUGCGCCAUUAGUAAAUUUUUUUAUUUUUUUGAUUUAUUUUGAAUUUUGAAGGCGGGAAGAUACUAAUGGCGCACCACGGGCAGGUGCGCCAUUAGUAAUUUUUUUUUAUUUUUUUGAUUUAUUUUGAAUUUUGAAGGCGGGAAGAUACUAACGGCGCACCAUGGUCAGGUGCGCCAUUAGUAUUUUUUUUUUGAAUUUUGAAGGCGGGAAGAUACUAAUGGCGCAUCAUGGGCAGGUGCGCCAUUAGUAAGUUUGAAUUUUUUUGAUUUUUUUUGCCUCUCUAGAUCUUAAAAGCCCCGUAUCUUUUUUUCUGUUAGGUUUUUGAGGAUUUUGGAAAUGUUUAACGGGGUUCCCCCGGUUAAAUUUGGAUGUAACUUUUCGAGUAGAUGAUUUUUCAUAUAAAAAACUUUUUCAUCCGAGUUAGUAUGCAAAAGUUAUGCCCAUUUUUACAAAUUCUCGCGAGAUUUUGCAAAUGAAGUCAAAAUUCAUAUUUGCAAAUUUUCCCAACAACUAGGCCACAUAUCACAUGGGAAACUUAUUUUCUUUUAUUUUUUUAACAUUUUUAUCAUUUUGUUUUAUUUUUUUUAAAACUNNNNNNNNNNNNNNNNNNNNNNNNNNNNNNNNNNNNNNNNNNNNNNNNNNNNNNNNNNNNNNNNNNNNNNNNNNNNNNNNNNNNNNNNNNNNNNNNNNNNNNNNNNNNNNNNNNNNNNNNNNNNNNNNNNNNNNNNNNNNNNNNNNNNNNNNNNNNNNNNNNNNNNNNNNNNNNNNNNNNNNNNNNNNNNNNNNNNNNNNNNNNNNNNNNNNNNNNNNNNNNNNNNNNNNNNNNNNNNNNNNNNNNNNNNNNNNNNNNNNNNNNNNNNNNNNNNUAACUAGUAAUGGCGCACCACACCCACGGUGCGCCAUUAGUAUGUUUGGACAGGCGCACUAGUUCAAAAAAAAUAAAUUUGGUACUAAUGGCGCACCGUAGGCAGGGUGCGCCAUUAGUAGUUUCAACACUAAUGGCGCAUCAGAAGGUGGUGCGCCAUUAGUAUAUACUAAUGGCGCACCACAUGUCUGGUGCGCCAUUACUGUCAUUUCCAUCUAUAGCCCUUUUCCUAGUAGUGAUAAGAAAUUUCUUGAUUUUGAUCUAGAGGAUAUUUAUAUGUUUUGUGUGGAGAAUUGCAUUGAAAAUCCUUAUAUUGUCAAUUACCUAAAGAAAAGAAAGCAAAUAAAAGAUGAAGAGAAUACUAAUGAAAGGGAAGAGACUUCCGAAUCUCCUCCUAUUAUUUCUUAUGAUGAAUCAGGUAACGAGGAGGAGCUUUCUGUUCAACCAAUCUCAUCAAUAAGGAGCUCAAAGAGGAAGGUUGAACCCACACAUAAUGUGAAGAAGAAAAGGAAAAGAAGGGGCGACAAAGGUAAAAAGGUAUCCCUUCCAAAUGAUGUUGCUCCUACUACUUGUGAUGAUGAUAAUUGCUACACUAUUGGUGCUAUCCAUACUAUUAAUUAUGAGAGUGAUUAUGCUUAUGAUAUGAAAAGGCCCAAGCUUGGGGAAGCUAUGUUUGAUGAGAAUGACAUAUUUGAGAAUAUAUUUGCUGAAAUUAAUGUUUGUCCCAAGCUUGGGGACGCUACGUUUAAUGAAGAUGAUAUUUUUAGCAUCCCAAGUUUUGAUAUGCAUAGUUGUUAUGAUGAUAGCAUGCCUCCUACCUAUGAUGAUUAUAUUGAUGAAAGUGGGUUCGGAAGAGUGUCAACUUUAGGAAGUAGUGAUCCUACUAUUUUGGAGGAUGUUGAAUUUUAUUGUGAUGAAUAUGAAAGUGCAUUUGGAAGUGUCAACUUUAUUUAGUGAUUCCACUAUCUUGGGAGAGGUUUCAAUCGAUUAUGAUGAGAACGAAGUUGCUACUUAUGAUGAUUAUUGUGAUGAAACUUAUGCUAUAAAAAGUAGUGAUGAUUAUAUUUACAAAUCUUGUCAUGAUUAUGAUUACCCUUUUUCUGAACAUUACUCUUUUAAUGUGGAAACAAUUUUUAGUGUUCAAGUCUCUUAUGAUACUCCCACUAUUCCGAAUGGGAAGAAUUGUGCUUAUGUGGAGAGUAGUAAAUUUUCUAUGCUUGUAGGUCAUGAAAAGAAUGCUUUAGGUGCUGGUUAUAUUGUUCAAUUCAUUCAUGAUGCUACUGAAAAUUAUUAUGAGGGAGGAAUAUAUGCUUGUAGGAAUUGCAAUAAUGUCAAGUUUCCUCUCUAUGUGUUGAAAAUCUUGAAGCUAUGCUUGUUUUUACUUUCCUUUGCUAGUUGAUUAUUGUUCCCUUAAGUUGUUUGCUCACAAAAUCCCUAUGCAUAGGAAGUAGGUUAGACUUAAAUGUGCUAGUCAUAUGCUUCAUGAUGCUCCCGUUAUGUUUCAAUUCUUAUCUUUUAUGUGAGCAUCAUUGUCAUCAUCAUGCCUAGCUAGAAAGGCAUUAAAGAAAAGCGCUUGUUGGGAGACAACCCAAUAUUCAUCCUUAUUGUUAUUGUGUGUUCACAUGAUUAUGCUACUGUAGUAAUCAUGUUUUAUAUCUUUUGUUUCAAUAAAGUGCCAAGUAAGACCUUUAGAAUAGCUUACGGUGAUAGUUGUGUUGAUCAUGCUGAAAAUCAGAAACUUUUUCACCCAGUAAAUUAGUUUUGUUACUUCACAGAAACGUGAUUCUGAUCUGAUCUUUUUUAUGUGGAUUGGUACACAAAUUGCUUAGGACUUUCUAAUUUGGUAGGAGUUUUGGAGUUCCAGAAGUAUACGUUUGAUACAGGUUACUACAGACUGUUCUGUUUUCGACAGAUUCUGUUUUCUAUGUGUUGUUUGCUUAUUUUGAUGAAUCUAUGAGUAGUAUCAAAGGGUAUGAGAGCCAUAGAUAAGUUGGAGUACAGUAUAUAUUACACCAAUAUGAAUUUAGAAUGAGUUCAUUACAGUACCUAAGUGGUGGUUUUAUUUUCUUAUACUAACGGAGCUUACGAGUUUUUUGUUGAGUUUUGUGUUGUGGAGUUUUCAAGUUUUGGGUAAAGAUUCGAUGGACUAUGGAAUAAGGAGUGGUAAGAGCCUAAGCUUGGGGAUGCCCAAGGCACCCCAAGGUAAUAUUCAAGGACAACCAAGAGCCUAAGCUUGGGGAUGCCCCGGAUGGCAUCCCCUCUUUCGUUCUCGUCUAUCGAUAACUUUACUUGGAGCUAUAUUUUUAUUCGCCACAUGAUAUGUGUUUUGCUUGGAGCAUCAUUUUAUUUUGUUAGUAUUUGCUUGAUGUUAUUUAGAAUAAUGUUUUGCAUCUUUAUUUUCAAUAAAAAAGUCAAGGAUAGCCUUUGCCAUGCUUAUUUUGCUAGUAUACAUGUUGCUGUUUGAAAACAGAAAGUUUACCGCUGUUGCAAAAAUUCCCUAGAAAAGUCAGAGAAUGAUAUAAUGUUGAAAACUUCUUCAUAAUAAGCUCUGAUAAAUUUAAUACAGUUAGAAUUUUAUUUCAUAAUUUUUGGAGUUAGGGAAGUACUGAUACUCUUGCAUUCUUUACAGACUGUACUGUUUUGGCAGAUUGCUGUUAUGGUUGCAUUGUUUGCAUAUGUUUGCUUGUUUAAUGAUUCUAUUUGAGGAUAGGAGUAUUAAAUAUGCAGAGGCAUUUAGUAUGCAAUGUUGAAUAAUAAUUUUAGUGAUUUGUUACAGUAGAAAAUGAUAAGGUUUUGCAUUGGUUUAUACUAACCUAUCUCACGAGUUCUUGUUGAGUUCGGUGUGGAUGAAGCUUUUGAUAAAAAGAUAAACCAUGAUAUGAGAGGAAUUAAGGAGACACAAAAGUUCAAGCUUGAGGAUGCCCAAGGCACCCCAAGAUAAUAUUUCAAGAAUUCUCAAGCAUCUAAGCUUGGGUAUGCCCCGUUAGGCAUCCCACCUUUCUUCUUCAACAACUAUCGGUUAGUAUCGGUUGAGCCUAAGUUUUUGCUUCUUCACAUGAGUUGUGCUAUCCUUGCAAUGUCAUUUUAUUUUGUUUUGCUUGCUGUUUGAAUACAAUACCAAGAUCUGAAAUUCUUAAAUGAGAGAGAGUAUUCUCAUAGCUACAUAAUUAUUUAGCUACUCAUUGAUCUUCACUUAUAUCUUUUUGGAGUAGUUUGUCAUUUACUCGUGUGCUUCACUUAUAUCCUAUGAGUAAAUGGUUGAAUGAGUUGAAUGUCACAAAUCUGAAUUUAUGUCUCAUUUGCUUAUCCCAUGGGGAGUAAUGACUUCACAUCUAAGAAGUAUAGGUUGUAAAUUUAUUGAAGGUUAGCAAGCAUUGUAUUGGUCAUUUGAGCAAUUCAUGAAAGAAUAUUUAAGGAAGAGAGAUUUAAUAUAUAAAUACACUAUCCUAGACAUCUUUUAUAAUUGGGAGCACUCAUUAAGUAUGACAUGCUAAAGAGUUGAUGUUGGACAAGGAAGACAACGUAAUGGGUUAUGUUUUCCGACAUCUCAGUUAAAGUAUAUUGUCAUGGAUCAUUCAAGCAUGUUGAGCUUGCCUUUCCCCCUCAUGCUAGCCAAAAUUCCUAGCACCAAAUAGAGAUACUACUUGUGCUUCCAAAUAUCCUUAAACCCAGUUUUGCCAUGAGAUUCCACCAUACCUACCUAUGGAUUGAGUAAGAUCCUUCAAGUAAGUUGUCAUCGGUGCAAGCAAUAAAAAUUGCUCUCUAAAUAUGUAUGAUCUUUUGGUGUGAAGAAAAUAGCUUUAUACAUCUCUUGUUAUGGAAGCAAUAAAAGCGACGGACUGCAUAAUAAAGGUCCAUAUACAAGUGGCAAUAUAAAGUGACGUUCAUUCGCAUUAAGAUUUUGUGCAUCCAACCCUAAAAGCGCAUGACAACCUCUGUUUCCCUCUGCGAAGGGCCUAUCUUUUACUUUAUGUCUUUUACUUUUAUGCAAGAGUCAAGGUGAUCUUCACCUUUCCCUUUUUCAUUUUAUCCUUUGGCAAGCUCCUUGUGUUGGGAAGAUCCUGAUAUAUAUAUAUCCAAUUGGAUGUAAGUUAGCAUGAACUAUUAUUGUUGACAUCACCCAAAGGUGAAUAUGUUGGGAGGCAACACUAUAAGCCCCUAACUUUCUUAGUGUCCGAUUGAAACUUCAUAACCAUUAGUAUUGCGUGCGUGUUAGCAAUUGUAAAAGACUAUAUGAUAGUUGAGUAUCUGGAGUUUGCUAUUCCUGAAAAUAAGAUGAACUGCAAUUGUUUGAUGACUAAGAAUGAAGUUUGCUAGUUUUCAAGAAAGUUUAUGGUCUAUGCUUUGACAUGUGAAUUGCUUGUUACUUUAUCGUGAGAAGUUUUAUGAGAUGAACUACUGUUAUGAUAUGUUAUCAUGCUAGAAAAGGUGAUUGAAAUUAUCAUUGAUAAAACUUAUGCACCUGCUAGCAUUUACACUUCAUAAAUUCUUUCUUUUAUCAUUUACCUACUCGAGGACGAGUAGGAAUUAAGCUUGGGGAUGCUGAUACGUCUCCGACGUAUCUAUAAUUUAUGAAGCAUUCAUGCUAUUUUAUUAUCUGUUUUGAAUGAUUACGGGCUUUAUUAUACACUUUUAUAUUACUUUUGAGACUAACCUAUUAACCGGAGGCCCAGCCCAUAUUGCUGUUUUAUUGCCUGUUUCAGUAUUUUGAGGAAAAGGAAUAUCAAACGGAAUGAAACCUUCGGCAGCGUGAUUUUUUGGAAGAAUAUGAUCCGGGAGACUUGGAGUUCACGUCAGAAGAUCCUCGAGGAGGCCAUGAGAUAGGAGGGCGCCCCCCCCCUACUAGGCGCGCCCCCAGUCUCAUGGGCCCCUUGAGCACCUCCCGACCGACUUCUUUCGCCUAUAUAAGCCUACGUAUCCUAAAAACAUCGAAUAUCAAGAUAGAUCGGGAGUUCUGCCGCCGCAAGCCUCUGUAGCCACCAAAAACCUCUCGGGGGCCCGUUCCAGCACCCUGCCGGAGGGGGAAUCCAUCACCAGUAGCCAUCUUCAUCAUCCUGGCGCUAUCCAUGACGAGGAGGGAGUAGUUCACCCUCGGGGCUGAGGUUAUGUACCAGUAGCUAUGUGUUUGAUCUCUCUCUCUCUCUCUCUCGUGUUCUCGACUUCACACGAUCUUGAUGUAUCGCGAGCUUUGCUAUUAUAGUUGGAUCUUAUGAUGUUUCUCCCCUCUACUCUCUUGUGAUGAAUUGAGUUUCCCUCUUGAAGUUAUCUUAUCGGAUUGAGUCUUUAUUUGAGAACACUUGAUGUAUGUCUUGCCGUGCUUAUCUGUGGUGACAAUGGGAUAUCACGUGCCACUUGAUGUAUGCUUUGGUGACCAACUUGCGGGUUCUGCCCAUGAACCUAUACAUAGGGGUUGGCACACGUUUUCUUGACUCUCCGGUAGAAACUUUGGGGAACUCUUUGAAGUACUUUGUGUUGGUUAUAUGAAUCCGAGAUUGUGUGAUGCAUAUCGUAUAAUCAUGCCCACAGAUACUUGAGGUGACAAUGGAAUAUCUAGGUGACAUUAGGGUUUUGGUUAUUUGUUACUUAAGGUGUUAUUCUAGUACGAACUCUUGAAUAGAUUGAUCCGAAAGAAUAACUUUGAUGUGGUUUCGUACCCUACCAUAAUCUCUACGUUUAUUCUCCGCUAUUAGUGGCUUUGGAGUGACUCUUUGUUGCAUGUUGAGGGAUUGUUAUAUGAUCUAUCUAUGUUAUUAUUGUUGAGAGAACUUGCACUAGUGAAAGUAUGAACCCUAUGCCUUGUUUCCUAUCAUUGCAAUACCGUUUACGCUCACUUUUAUCAUUAGUUACCUUGCUGUUUUUAUAUUUUCAGAUUACAAAUACAUUUAUCUACCAUCCAUAUUGCACUUGUAUCACCAUCUCUUCGCCGAACUAGUGCACUUAUACAAUUUACCAUUGUAUUGGGUGUGUUGGGGACACAAGAGACUCUUUGUUAUUUGGUUGCAGGGUUGUUUGAGAGAGACCAUCUUCAUCCUACGCCUCCCACGGAUUGAUAAACCUUAGGUCAUCCACUUGAGGGAAAUUUGCUACUGUCCUACAAACCUGUGCACUUGCAGGCCCAACAACGUCUACAAGGAGAAGGUUAUGUAGUAGACAUCACGACCUAUGUUGCAAAAAAUAAAUCCCGCAACAUGACCAAUGCUGCAAAAAAUCCGCAACACAAUCUAUGUUACAAGAGUUCCCGCAACAAGAUCAUUGUUGCAAAGAAGAGAAAGACAUCUAGCCGCUUGAUUUUGUCGUAUCUAAAUGCCCGUGAGGCAGCAGAGCUUUUAGAAAGAUCCACCGGCAAACGCGUAGCAGCCCCCUUAUAAUAAUCUCAUAAUCGGAUGAUUUACAUCAUAGUGAUAUGCUUACAUUCAAUUCUUUGACGAGGUCCUCCAUGAGCUUUCCAUUUGUAAGAGUACGCCUAACGCACUCAUCCAUUUUAUUUUCAAGGUUGAACAUCCCAUCGACUUGUUGUGUAUCAGCUGAGGGAGUCCUGGACUAGGGGGUCCUCGUGAUACCGGCCUAUCUCUAAUGGGCCGGAUAGGUGGGCUGCUACACGACAACCACAGGGCUGAGAUAUUGGCCGACUCCGUGUCCGGAGAGGAAACCCUCGGAUUCUUGGUGUGUCCUCCAAGUCAAGAUGGAAGAUUCAACAUGUUUAUUCCCCGGUUGUAACCAACCAUGUGUAACCCUAAUACCCCUCUUGUCUAUAUAAACUAGAGGGUUUUAGUCCGUAGAGGGUAGAACAACAUCCAUCAUCCUACUUACCUAGGGUUUAGUUCAUCUGAUCUUGUGGUAGAUCGACUCUGUAAUCAUCAUAUACACCUCAAUAUAAUCAAGUAGGACGUAUGGUUUUACCUCCUAGAGAGGGCCCGAACCUGGGUAAACAUCUUCCCAUGUUCCCCAUUGAUCCACGAUCCACUUCUAGGGACCCCCUACUCGAGAUCCGCCGAUUUUGGCACCGACACCGGCCUCCCACACGAGGGACCCAACUUCCUUCAAAUUAGUCAAUACAUAGUCGACGAGUACUUUAAUCUGCAACUUUGAAUCAGUUUGAAGCAUAUAACCUAGAUAGUAGUUGCAAUGUUACAAUCUAUAUUUGUACCUGAUGUAACUCAUUUACCUAACUGCCAGUCUUCGGUUUGGCCAGUGUAACAUCUGCUGGCGGAAUGAAAGGCCGCAUCAGGUCCUCAACAUACUGCAAUUUAGUGUCCUUAGUAUAAUUCAAAAUAUAUGGUACAUAAUCCAAGCAUAGUACUGACACUUUACCACCCCAACUUCUAGAUGAUUUUUCUGGACUAUGCUGUCAACCUUGUGUGCCUUCUCCUGACUCCAGUUCUGGAUCAGCGGUCUUAACCUUGAUACAUACGAGAUGCUAGAGUCCAAUUGGUUCACCCUGAACUUCUCAUAGUACCACGUCUGCAUGAUAACAAAGCCGUUUAGAAACUUUGUCGUAGGUUACGUAAUGUAUGUUAGGUAACUGAUGAUUGUAUUGCUGCGAAUUAGCUGCAAUAGUGGUAGGUUCCCCUCAAGAUUUGCUUCACCAUUUACAAAAUUCUUGACGCCAGCCAUAAGAUAGUCAAAUGUUAGUUGUCAUGUUAUUUCGCGGUGUCCUUGGCAGGGAUUUAGAAAUGUUGGUCGUCAUCUUGGUUUGAUUUUCAUUGCCUCCAGGGCGGCGAUUUAGCUGUGUUGUGUCGCUAUCUGGGUUGAGCAUCACAUGUCUCCUGCUCUGUGCACCAUGUAUACGCCUUCUACGUCUGUGUCAUGUGUUGUACCACAGCUUGUAUUCACUCCCAACUUCUUCUAUAAAUAAAAUGAUAUGCAAGCUUUGCGUAUUCGUGAAAAAGGACUCAGUUACUUGUUCGUGCUUGUACCGUUGUACAGGAAUAUAUCAAGCCAGCCUUGUAUGUGCAUGUCUUCAUGGAUACAGAAUAAGUUUGGGUGGUCGUGGUCGUCAUCGCCCUCAUCAUGCACACUCACGCCUAUUGAGCUACAGCGGGAGGCGGCCAUGGUGACCUGCUCAAGCCAGUGUAAUGUCAAGAGCAGAGAGAGCGGCGAUGCAGCGAGAUGGGGUUCUUGAUGUAGUCUGAGACACAACCCAGAGCAUCGCCGCAUAUGCGCGUCCCUAGUAGUAGCGCUUGUGUUAUAGCUAUUAAUAGCGCUUGUACAAGCGCUACCAGUAAGACGCUACAGCUAACUGGUAGCAGUACCGCUGGUUUUCCAGCGCAACUGCUAUACCUAUUUAGCAGUAGCGCUUGGUAGUGAAAAGUGCUACUGAUACUAGUAAGUAGCAGUAGCGUUUCUUUUGAAAAGCGCUACUGCUAAAUUUUCCUGUAUUUUUUCAAAUGCAGCUUAUUGUCGCUGUAUUUGUAUAGGUUUUGUAUACAGUAUUUUCAUCAUAUGAUUUUAUGACCAUGAUUAGUUAUGUUAUAACAGUGGGUAAAUGAAUAUGGGUUAGAUUUAAGUAGAGGCAACAUGUGGUGCAUGUCGAAAGUAUUACUAACCCAAACUUGAUCUAGUUUGGAUUAGUAGUACUUUUGAUGUGCACUACAUGUUGCCUCUACUUGAAUCUAAUCCAUGUUCAUUUCACCCACUGAUAUAUAUAAUAACUCAUCAUGCUCAUAUAACAACUUAGCAUCAUGCAUCAUCAUAAUAACUUGGUCAUCAUUUUCGUCCAUGAGACAUCAUAUAACAACUUGGUCACUAGUCAUAAUCACAACUCCUCAUCAUCAUCAUCAACUCUAACACAUUGUAGCACAUAAUAACACAUUGUACCUACGACUUACUCCUCUCUCAUAGGACCUACUACGCUCUCUAAGGUAAAAUAGCAUAAAACAAGAUAGGCCCUUACUCUCCAUUAUGGAGAAUGGAGACUAUCAUGUCUCCAAUUCUAGCGCUUCGCACGAUGUUGCUUCCAAGUAGCUCCCUAUGAUUGUUCAUACAUUUUUUUCCAUUCUUUGAUUGUCAUGUCUUGAUCGGUUUUAGAAAUCCGGUAUGAACAGUUGUGAAGCCUAGACACACAAUCCUUCGGGAUUUUCUUCGAAAAAACAUAAUAAAAUCAUUGUAGUUAGCAAUGUAGUUUAGCUUUAGAAGAAUAUAUGCAAAAGAUGCACGGAUGUCGUAAUAGUAAAAAAUCUUACCAUGCCAUCUCCAUGGAUGUUACCGUAGGUCAGCACGUGCACUAGUGGCACGUAUUGACCAUAAUGUGCAGGAGUUUGAUAAUUGAUAUUUUAAUUCUCAACAUCGGUAAUAAAUGAGAUAAUAUGAUCUUUCUCCUGAUAAGUUAAUUCUGCGCCAUCGGUGUAGUAGGUUCUGUCUACCAUCUUUCUUACAUUUUUUGAAGAAUGAAAAUAUGUUGUCAAUGGAAAUAAGAUAUCAACUAUUUUGAAAUAAACAAUAUAAAUUACUUAACAAAUAUGUUUGAGAAACUCACAUAGCGGUAGAAUUGAAAGCGUAUCAACAAGGACCCAAAUGUCCAUAUUCUCUUUGUCGUUGUCACGAUCACCAAGAUCCAAGGUGACAACCAUACCCUCAUGAAAAUCAUAUGUCUUGCAAAGUGCUUCCCAAUACGGGCAACCAAAAUGGGAUACACUCUUAGAAUUGUAUAGAUUUACAGCAAAAUCAUAUCCAUGAUGGGUCCAUAGGUGAAUUAUCUUUGUUUCCAUAGUUUCAUAAUCUUCAAAAUCCAGCCUCUCCAAGACAUAGCGUCUUGCAUGGCAUGGGAUAAGCUAGUCGAAUUGUAAAAGACGAAAAUUACAUGUUGAAGAAGCAGAAGUCGUGCUUAAUUACAAAAAAACACUUGUCGUCGAUGCGCACCGUUUCAACAUCGAAGGUCUCCUGGAGCUUAACACUGAAGCGUCGAACUUCUACCAGGUGAGGCCUGUCGCACAGACCCCGAUCAUCGCCGCAUCAGUCGCACUCCGGGAGCCUAUCUUCGUCGGACGAUAUUUCCUAUGUUCAUAAUUCAAAUAUUAAACUUCUAAAAUUAAAUAUAUGUACUACAAAAACUAAAUUAGAUCAUUAUUAUUCAUCACGUGUUGACUAUCGAUCUGUCGAGUCCCACGACAAGGAGAAGAAGGAGAAGGGACCCCCACGACAAUAGUCGGCAUUCUUCUUCUCUCAUAUAUGGUGGAGACUCUCCCUCACUGAUUUUUUGACUGUCAUAUAUGGAGCCCCGACAGACUUAAACUCAACUCAAAAUGUCAUUUAAUUCUCUUUCAAGCAAAUCCAGGCACCCGAUAUUUCCUACAUAUUCUAGCACAAGUCAUGCUAAAAUUCAUGGAAACAAUCCGGCAUGAACUUUGCUAAAAUAGGACAUAUCGAGUGCCUGAAAUUUGCCGGAACGGAAAUGAACCAUUGAUGUCUACUACACAACCUUCUUCUUGUAGACGUUGUUGGGCCUGCAAGUGCACAGGUUCGUAGGACAGUAGCAAAUUUCUCUCAAGUGGAUGACCUAAGGUUUAUCAAUCCGUAGGAGGCGUAGGAUGAAGAUGGUCUCUCUCAAACAACCCUGCAACCAAAUAACAAAGAGUCUCUUGUGUCCCCAACAUACCCAAUACAAUGGUAAAUUGUAUAGGUGCACUCGUUUGGCGAAGAGAUGAAGAUACAAGUGCAAAAUAGAUAGUAGAUAUAGGUUUUUGUAAUCUGAAAUAAUAAAAACAGCAAGGUAGCGAGCGGUACAAGUGAGCGUAAACGGUAUUGCAAUGGUAGGAAAUAAGUCCUAGGGUUCAUACUUUCACUAGUGUAAGUUCUCUCAAUAAUAAUAACAUAGAUAGAACAUAUGACAAGCCCUCAACAUGCGACAAAGAGUCACUCCAAAGACACUAAUAGUGGAGAACAAACAUAGAGAUUAUGGUCGGGUACGAAACCACCACAAAGCUAUUCUUUCGGAUCGAUCUAUAAAAGAGUUCGUACUAGAAUAACACCUUAAGAUACAAGUCAACCAAAACCCUAAUGUCACCUAGAUACUCCAUUGUCACCUCAAGUAUCCGUGGGCAUGAUUAUACGAUAUGCAUCACACAUCUCAGAUUCAUCCAACCAACAUAAAAGUACUUCAAAGAGUGCCCCAAAGCUACUACCAGAGAGUCAAGAACGUGUGCCAACCCCUAUGCGUAGGUUCCCAAGUGUCACAAAACCCGCAAGUUGAUCACCAAAACAUACAUCAAGUGGAUCAAUAGAAUAACCCAUUGUCACCACGGUUAUCCCAUGCAAGACAUACAUCAAGUGUUCAUAAUAGACUCAAUCCGAUAAAAUAACUUCAAAGGGGAAACUCAAUUCAUCACAAGAGAGUAGAGGGGGAGAAACAUCAUAAGAUCCAACUACAAUAGCAAAGCUCGGGAUACAUCAAGAUCGUGCCAUAGAGGAAACAUGAGAGAGAACACGAGAGAGAGAGAGAGAGAGAGAGAGAUCAAACACAUAGCUACUGGUACAUACCCUCAGCCCCGAGGGUGAACUACUCCCUCCUCAUCAUGGAUAGCGUCGGGAUGAUGAAGAUGGCCUCCGAUGAUGGGAUCCCCCUCCGGCAGGGUGCCGGAACAGGGUCCCGAUUGGUUUUUGGUGGCUACAGAGGCUUGCGGCGGCGGAACUCCCGAUCUAUUUUUUGUUCUGGAAGUUUUAGGGUACGUAGGUAUAUAUGGGUGCAGGGAGAACGUCGGUGGAGCUACGGGGGCCCCACGAGGCAGGGGGGCGCGCCCAGGGGGGAGGGCGCACCCCCACCCUCGUGAGCACCUCCCGUAUCUUCUGACGUGGGGUCCAAGUCCAUCAGGUGGGUUUCCUUCCAAAAUUAACUUCUCCAGUUGAUUUCGUUCCGUUUUGACUCCGUCUGAUAUUCCUUUUCCUCGAAACACUGAAAUAGGCAUAAAACAGCAAAUCUGGGCUGGGCCUCCGGUUAAUAGGUUAGUCCCAAAAAUAAUAUAAAAGUGGAUAAUAAAGCCCAAUAUUACCUAAAACAAUAGAUAAAGUAGCAUGGAACAAUCAAAAAUUAUAGAUACGUUGGAGACGUAUCAACCAUACUCCGACAAAACAUAGGCCACUCGGAUUUUCCCUGCGAUACAAAGAUGUCCAUACGCAUACAACGAUGCUUAAACUUGAAAUUCUAUCCGGAUCAAUUAUCAUAAGCAUUCGCACAUGAGCAUUCAAACUGGUGCUCAUUGCAUUUCAAUGGUUCAAUAUUGACAAAAACAUUUCAAUAUAUGUUAUAACCCGAACAUUUCAUUUGGUUAAGAAGCAUAACUAAAUACCCUAGUUCUACUCUAUUCAACACACCGCGGAGUAGAGAAGGAGGAGGUGGACUUUUAGCUCACCGUCUCAGGUGUAGAGGAAGUAGAUGUAGCUCGGCUGACGAUCACUCCAAGGAGACACGACUCUAAAGAGCCUGCAUAUUCCACUGAGUGAAAAUUUUAGAUCAUCAAAUCUUUCUGUAUUGACAUAAAAAUAAUUAAAUUUUAUAAUACAUUUCUAUAUUGAAAAACAAAAUUACAAAAUAUUUCUAUACCUAAAUUUUCUUACUAAAAAUUUUUAUUACUAAAUUUGAUACCUAAAAAUUUCUCAUAUAGCAUUCUAAUACAUUUCUAUAAUUGAAAUUUGUCUAUACCUAAAAAAUUAUAUUACUAAACUUUUCUAUUUUAUUCUAUUCAAAAUACCUAAAUUCUGUUCAUAUAACUUAUAUGUUCUAUUUUAUUCAAAAUAACAUAGAUGGGGGAGGGAGGAAGGNNNNNNNNNNNNNNNNNNNNNNNNNNNNNNNNNNNNNNNNNNNNNNNNNNNNNNNNNNNNNNNNNNNNNNNNNNNNNNNNNNNNNNNNNNNNNNNNNNNNNNNNNNNNNNNNNNNNNNNNNNNNNNNNNNNNNNNNNNNNNNNNNNNNNNNNNNNNNNNNNNNNNNNNNNNNNNNNNNNNNNNNNNNNNNNNNNNNNNNNNNNNNNNNNNNNNNNNNNNNNNNNNNNNNNNNNNNNNNNNNNNNNNNNNNNNNNNNNNNNNNNNNNNNNNNNNNNNNNNNNNNNNNNNNNNNNNNNNNNNNNNNNNNNNNNNNNNNNNNNNNNAGGAGGAGGAGGAGGGCCGCCGGAGGGAGGAGAGAGGAGGAUGAGGAGGAGGAGGGAGAGAGGAGGGCCGCUAGAGGAAGGAGAGAGGAGGGCGGGCGGAGGAAAGAGGAGGAGGUAGGAGGAGGAGGAGGAGAAGGGGGGAGAGGAGGGCCGCCGGAGAAUCAUACCUUGGCGGCGACGGCGGGCGACGUCGCACGGCGGAGAGAGAGAGCGAGUGAGUGUGUGAGGGGAGAGUGAGGACGCGCAGUGGUUUGGAUAUGGUGCCCGUAGUAGUAGCGCUGGUUGGUAACCAUCGCUAUUGCUAAGCUCCAUAGCAGUAGCGCGUUAAGGGAACCAGCGCUACUGCCAUGAUCAAUAUCAGUAGCGCUUUUAGAGAACCAGCGCUACUACUAAGGCUAAGCAUCUAAAAAAUCAAAAAAAAACAUUGGUCAUCAAUGAUCUUUUUGUGUAGAAUCUAAAUUGUCAGUAUGAAUCUUCACCAGUUUAGGAACCAGUGAGGAUUCAUAUUGCGACAACAAAUUCUACACAUAGAGUACAAUGAAGGCAAAGUGGUGGUGAUAGUUUGAGAAGCACCAUAUUUAAGGUGGUAAUCAUUCUGUUUGCGGAGCAAGGUGGGACUAAACUUGGGUCCUAGGAGGGGACUGAAUUUAGCAGUAGCGCUGGUUGAAAAAAAGCGCUACUGCUAAGUACAAUAGUAGUAGCAUUUUUUUCGUAAGAGCGCUACUAGCAUACCUAAGUUGUCGGCAACGUUGUGACAGUUAUAGUAGUAGCGCGUUUUUAACUACGCGCUACUGCUAUGUCCAUAGUAGCAGCGCUCUUUCUGUGCAAGCGCUACUGAUAAUUAGCAACCUCGCUUCCUUUUAAAAAGCGCUAUUGAUAAGCUUCUGUGUAUAAGGUUUUCUCUAGUAGUGUCGGUCCAGGCCUCCAGCAUCGCGCUCCAACAACGGUGCUUUGCUGCGAGCGCUUCCACCGCGAAGGCCGUGUGAAUCAGCCUAGACAGUGGCAGUGGAUCCCUGAUGUGUUAUCUUCACGAGCUGUGGAAGGAGCUCGUCGUCGUGAAUGAGCUCUGUGAGCUGCAGCAGGAGCUUGUCGUCGCGGACGGCAAUGACCCUUCGGGACACGGCGUCGACAAAGCUGACGGCUCGCCCUGGCUGCAUCUCCUUCCACCGAUGUAUCCUGCGGGCUGCAACUCGUCAACUCGCUACCACCUUCUAAGGAUCCUCUAGCCUAUUGCCAUUGAUGGAUCUGAGAGGAAAGGGGACAGGAGGAGAGAGAUGGGAGCGAGGAAGAAGAUGGCAAGAUGCGUUGACCAGCGCUACAGCGAGAGAAGCGAUUUCAUGCUCAGGAUUGUGCUUUUUUUGGUGUAGUAUAUGAUAGACUGGGAUAGAAAAGGUCAGGGUACCGAUUUCAGAGAAUUGAUGGCGAAGGUUCGUUUUUGUAUGUAUCUGCGACCUUUAUAUUUAGACUUCACUCGUGAUAUAAGUGAUAUUGUUGUGCACCCGGUUUAAUGGAAUAGAUGUUUUCAUUUGAAGAAAAACGAACUUAUUGGACAGAGACACUGAUGCUCGUACCAUGUUCAACAUAUUCAGUUUGUUGGGAUGGAACAAUCAUUUUUUUUUUUGAGGUAAUAGCACGCUCCUGGAAAAAAAAAUGCACUGCUCCACGAAACCAGAACAGCUCGUCCCCCAUAUCCACUCGUCCGACGGCGCCGGCGGCGCGACCGGAGGCCGGAGCUCCUCCCGCCCAGACCCCCGUCCCUUCCUCCUCUCCGUCUCUUGCAGUCUGAGCUCAACUACCCCAAGGCGCCCUUCCUCCUCCGCCGCAUCCCGAUCUGAUGGCCGGAUCUUGGAACUGGGCGGAUCUACCGGACGGGCCGACGGCGCUCAUCGCCGACCGCGUCCUCGCCUUCGACGUCGCCGACUACGUUCGCUUCCGCGCCGUGUGCCUCCCGUGGCGGCGGUGCUCAGCGGGCCCCCGCGAGCACGGCAGCCUCGACCGCCGGUUCCAUCCCCGGCGGUGGACCAUGCUCCGGGAGGAGCUCGCGGCGCCCAACCGCCGCUCCUUCCUGAACACCUCCACCGGCGAGUGUGUCCAGGUGGACCUCCCGGAGCUCCAUGACCACACUGUGCUCGCCCUCACCCCCGAGGGCCUCCUCAUUCUGCUCCACAAGCUGCAGCGCACCACCGUCCGCCUGCUCAACCCAUUCACCGGCCACCUCACGGAACUCCCGCCGCUCACCACGCUGCUAUCUCCACCGCACCACCACAUGCUUAUGUCUGGCAUUGACCGUUUGGAAAGGGUGUUCGCAGCGUGGGGCUCCGGCGUUGCCAAUGAUGAUUCCACAGUUGUGCUCUGCUUCUACAAGCUGGGCGUGCUUGGCAUGGCCAAGCCGAGCGAUGACCACUGGACGUUGGUGAAAUGCAGAUUUAAUUCAAUGGGAGCACCCUUAAUGCUGGCAGGCCGCUUCUACUGCGUUUGCUUGCACAAUGGUCUCAUGGUGCUGGAAACCAGCGCGGAUCAGCCACCACGGCUGGAGAUGGCCUCCCAGCUGAAUUUCAGUGCCUCUACGAUUGGUUAUAGUGUGCACCUGGUGAACAAUUGUGGGGAGCUCAUGCUGGUGCACCGUUGGUGUGGACCAUUGUCACCGGUCAACAGAGUGGGUUAUUGGUACGAUGCAUAUCGAGUGGAUUUGGACAAGCGGAAGAUAUUCCCGGUCAACAGCUUGGGCGGCGCCGCAGGGCGUGUGGUGUUCAUGGGCAUGCAUUGCUCUCUAUUGGUGUCUCUAGAGAAUUUCCCCUCCGGUUCCAUAACUGCUGACACCAUCUACUUAGGCUUUGACAUUGCUGAAAGAGCGGAGUUUAAAGUUGGAGCAUAUCAUCUCGCAGAUGAAAGCAUCGAAGGCACCAGCAGAUAUCAGGGUCGCUUGGUGCCACGGCCGCAUACUCUUGUUGACUGUCUAUCUUUAGCCAAUACUGUCUGACGAGCUAUCCCAUUUCCUUGAUGCUUAGCAUGCAUGUAUGUGCGAUAUGUACUCUUGUAUCCCAUUUGGUUAGCUACUAUUUGAGUCUAUGUAUCUAGCUAGAGUUAUCAGUUAUGUAGAGAUGACUGGUCGUGUUAUGCACUCUUUUUUGCUGAGUUUCGUUUGAAGAUGUGCACAUGCAGGUUUGUAUGCGUACUAUUUGGAAACGAAGUGUGUUGCACUGUCUUGCAUGAGUGCAAUUAUUUGCCUAAUCAAUUUGUGACCAUGCCUAAAAGAAGAGCAACUGGUUUCCUUUGUCGGAAAGCAAGCCUGUCUGCUUUCAUGGCUGGAAGGUUGUUUUGGGCUGGGGUGACAUUGUGAGAUCUUUGGGAAAAGAUGGUUAGUUGAAUAACAAACCUCCUUCUGCCCUUUACCAUGAUUUAUAUGACAAAUGUAAGCAUAUGCAUUUUCUUGCAAGUUACUCCUUCCUGCCUUCUAACAUGCCGUUGAGAAAAGAUGUGUAACCUUGUACCCAUCACACAUGCACCAUGAAGUUAUUUUGUUAAUAGAGAUUUGAUAUUAGUACAGUUUGUAAACUUGUUGUCUCAGUGAUCUCUACGGUCAGGUUAGUGGUCACUUGACGUUGUUAGGUCAAACUUGACUAUUGCUUUUUUAGUAAGGUUAGCAAAAUAUCUAUCAAUCUAUGUAAAUUCAGAACUUCCUUUGGACAUGAGCUCAAGGUUUUAGUUGUUCAGAUUGAGCCAGGUUUGUUUGUCAACUUUGCUUAUCAUGUUAGGAACUUUUUUGAGUCACUUUGCACGAAUUUGCAGUUCCCCAGUUGAAGGAUUUUGCCCAUGCUUGAAAUACGCUUCACAAUUUUCAGCAUGUAAGUUAAGAUGCAAGCAAAUAUGUCUUUUCAAUCAAUCUCGUUUGGAACUUCACUUCCUAGUCCCUGUUUAAGUUUAUUCAUGUUUAAUUUGCAGGUUCCCCUGUGGACCUUGCAAAACAUUAUAUGAGUUACCAUUAUUCGACCCCAACCUAGUUGUUUUGUUGGAGCCAAGUAUUUCUUGAUAGCAAAGCGGAAGCGGGCAACACUGGCUAUUUUGGGUGUUCAGGAGAACCACUUGUUCAGAAGCUGGAUGAAUUUAACAUUGACAACCCUGGACUUCCUAUGAAUGGCUAUAUGACUUUAUGUGGCUGGUCAGCAUUAUGUUUUGUUUACUGCACAUCAUUCUUUUCCCCUCUCAGAGAUAGAUAUUCAUGUUUGCUCCACAUGUCAUAGUCUUGGUUUUUUAUGGUGCUAGAUGUCCGUAUGGCUCAUAUUACUUACUCAACUGCAAAACUGCGGCAUUUGUUGCCAAUAAAUCUUGAUUUAUGUCUAGCAGGUACUGAGCUCUUCCAGUGAUGUGAAUGCCUCACCAUUUUCAUCAUCCAACACAGAUCCCAAUUUUUGGUUGCUGGCAGCAGUCAGGCAAUUUGUUAAAAAAUUCUGAAAUUAAAUUAAGCUAUGGGUAUUGCACCUGUAUAUUAUUGUUUCUACUCCCUCCGUUCCAAAAUAUAGUGCUUCCUCUAUUCCCGUGCUUCAAUUUUAACCAUAAAUUUAACCAACAAGACCGACUGCGGCGGGAGCAAAAGUUAUAUCGGUGAAUUCGUAUUCAAUUUUUUUUUCAAUUAUAUAAUUUUUUUCCCCGCCGCAGUUGGUCUCAUUGGUUAAAUUUAUGGUCAAAUUUGGACCCCGGGAAGCGCGGGCGCACUAUAUUUUGGAAUGGAGGGAGUAUUAUAUAUUCAGCUUAACAAGGCAUUUGACAUAUGGAGUGUAUUUAUGGUUGACAUGAUGUAAAAUGUAGUUUUUACUUUUAUCGAUAUAAGGGCAUAUUGUCGCAUGUCCCAACAUUGAUGAGGUAGAAGUAGCAAACUGUCCUUUUUUAUUGGUAUUGUGCAUCGACACAUUUAGACCUAGAGUUUUACCUCAAUUGGGAACUUUCUCCAUCAGACUAUAUUUUGCAGAGCUUUUCUAUAUCCUCAGUUUUCCUUACAGGUGUAGAAAGGAAUAUUUUGGAUUGUUCGGAAGUCAAAUGCCUCCUUCCAAAGAUGCUUGUGCAAGUCCUCCUGUUUCAGAUUUCGCUGAAGGCUGUUCACCUCUUAAGGUCCCCGAAAAAAAAAGUUCACCUCAUAAUGAAAUUCCUAGUUUAAAAAGACUUGCUUGGGACUGGUGAAUCUUUGUGGACUAUAGAUAGAUAGAGGAAUAUCGGAUAUGGUGAAUCUUCUAGUGAUAAUGUUCCUCCUGUCCACCAUAAUAAAAAACAAGACGGUUGAGAAGAUAUUCAAACAACUUGACAUGAUAGGAGAAACCGCCUGGGCAACAAUCUGUUACUGGAAAUCCAACUCGAUCAAAGGGAAACGUUUGGGGCCGGGGCGCCGGCUGAACCACCCGGCCGGUCGCGCGCGACCCGUGCGAUCCCCUCCCAUCGUAUGGCCAGCCUUUCCGCGUGGAUGGGACAUGAGGCUGACGGGGCCCACCAAUCGCUCGCCAUUUAAACGCCCCACGCGGCUGCACUGCUUCCUCUCUCUCUUUCAUCUCUCCGGUCCCUACCUCAGUUGGCCGUCCUCGUCGCCUUUUGCCGUCCCCGUCGGCCGUCCUCAUCGCCGGUGGCCACCCGCACCGGCCGUCCUCGCUCGCCGGCCUCGGCGGAAGUUGGAACCGCGUUGUUUCCUGCUGCGACCGGUGCCCAGGAGAGCUGCCAUCAUGGAUGGCGAGCAUGGUGACGGCGAGCUGCGAGGACAGCGGUGCUGUUCCGAGCAACACUGCAGAUGUCGUGUUUUGUGCUACGUGCUACAACUAGUGUUACAUUUUGCUACAACCGGCAUCCCACUCAGCUACAAUCGGCGUUGCGUUUUGCUACCAUGGUUUGAGUCCACGAGCUCAUAAGCCAUGGCCGCACGUGCGAUGGGGCUGAGCACCGGUGCUACCAUGACAGGGGGCAUCACCUGCGAGCUCACAUGCAAUUCACCCAUGGCUUACAAGCUCGAGGCGGACGGCGAGCUGGGAGCACCAUGGGAGACUCCCCCUGAUGUUGCAACGGGCGGUCUGGAAAGCUACAACCGAUGCAAAAAAAAGCUUCAACCAGCGACGGCUGGAGGUGGAAGAAGAUGACAAAACGCUGCAGUUUUGCUACAUGCUUCAACCGGCAUAGAUUUUGCUACAACCGGCAUAGAUUUUGCUACAACCGGCAUAGCAUUUUGCUACGAUCGGUGUCACGUUUUGCUACAACACAUAACUUUUCUCUGGUUGCAGUGUCAGGUUGGAGCUUUCUUUCUUAACGGUUGAAACUUUUUCAUACACGGUUGAAGCUUUUUCCGUCCACGGUUGAAGCUUUUGUGUAAACGAUUGAAACUUUUUUUGUUUUGAGCAGCCCUUGGUUAAAGCUCUCUCUAUCAUCUGGUUGAAACUUUUUUCAUCUAAGGUUGAAGCAUUUUGCAUCAGCGGUUGUAUCUCCUCGUGAAUCGCAGUGGCAGUUGAAGCUUUUCCAUCUAGGGCUUGAAGCUUUUCCAUCCAGGGGUUGAAGCUUUUUUAACAACGUUUGCAACACAGAGGGUGUGCGACGGUUCAAGCCUUACCUCGGUUCAGACGUGAGCUCGUCUUCGAGGGCGCGCGUCCGGUGAUCUUCGCCGCCGCAGCUCCGACCGUCGCAGCGGAGUUGUGACCAUCGCCAGGGGAGCUGCAACCGGCGCACACGCUGCUGCAUGCGCCGGGCCAGCAUGAAACACAGGUGGCCACUGGCGGCGAGGGCGGAAAACGGCGGCGAGGGCGGCAGCCGGUGGCGAGGGCGGUGACCGGUGCCGGGGGCGGCCAAGCCCGGUGGUGCUUCGAGUCUGGGUGCCUCGCUCAUCCAUGGCGGCUAGAUGUGUACAACAGCGAAGGAAGAGAUGAGCUACGUUGACUUGGUGAGGAUUAGAUCUGACGGUUAAUACAGAGGUAAGUCGGGCGGCUGCGGUGUGACCGGCCGAAACUUUCGGCCGGCGCACCGGCGCAGAUUACUGCCCCAAAACAAACCUGCUUGUAGAAACUUUUUCAAACCUUGUAACUUCGCACUUGCUUUCUCUUUCUCUUUGUCUUCUCACACACUUAACUGUGUGAAUAUUUUUAGCCAGUGAAACACCUUGUAACACACUUGUAUACCCUGGUUACUAAUUUAAAAGGUCGGUAGGACCCUCUACUAUCAGUUGAUGCUAAAAGAAAAAAACCUCCUUGUCAAGACAAUGGGCCAAAGGGUCUAAGGGCAUCUACAACCGGACCCCUUACACGCCCCAAGCGCCCGGACGAGCUGCUUGGUGAGUGUCCAGACGAAAAAACACCACCCAACCGGGCUCCCCAUAUCCGGCCCAAACGCCUGGACUGACCGGCACUCACCGUGUCUAGCCUAUAUGUGGGGUGGAUAUGUGGAUGCUUGGACGUGCCCGCCAUGUCCGAUCCGGUCCACUCUAGCCCACUCGACCCCACAUAAAUUGGAUCCUAUCCCCACUCUGGAUGAAAUCUGCUACUUUUGUAUUUAUACAUGAUCUUUCGUUAUGCACCAUAAUCUGUGCUAGAAGUUCUGAAACACACCCCUAUUUAGUAGUACAACGUUACUUGAAUUUUCCAUGUUAUAUUAAAUUGGUGCAUCGGCUUGACUUUAGCUCUAGCUCCGCCCUACAUUUUUGGAACACUCUCAAAUGCCUGGAAUGGAAAAUUAGACACUAUGACAAUAAUCUGUGGUGCACAUUUGCGCAACUAGUUUUUACGUACAUUUUCAUGUGUCAGAGUCAUAUUUCAUCAUUAUAUUUCUAUUGUCUUGAAGUGAACCUCUUAAAAUAUCGUAAGUUUUAAAAUUAGGUAUUGAGCUAAUUUAGUUCAUUUGCAAGGUGUCUUAAACCUCUUAAAGGUUAAUACUGAUCAUUGUUUUAAUGUAAUGGCAAUGGUGGGUAAUUUUUUAGUUUAAAGUGGAUCCAACGGUUGCGCUUUUCAAAAAUAAAAAAUUAAAGGCCAGAUCUAGCAGUGUGAUCCGCACAUUUGCGCGGCUAGAUUUAGUACAUAUUUUUAUAUUGAUUUAUAUUUCUUUAUAGCUAGUGAACUUUCACUCAAAAUGUGACCGAACAUAUAUGCUUUGUCCAGACAUGCACUCUGGCAAGCAUGUCUCUACUAAUUCUAUUGUGUUGUUAUUAUAAAAUAAUAAACAUAAGACCAAUAGCAUUGGAGCUUUGCGCUCAUGGUGUAACUCAUGGAAUUUUGGACUAAUUAGUAAUUUAGGGCUUUUUUUAGGACGCAGAUUUUUGGCUCCGAGGUGCUCCACCCACCCAUAUCCUCGCCUGUCGUUACUUUGGCCUGAUCACAACAUUUAAUAGAAAAUGAUUUCAGUCUAAGGCAAUACAGAUUCAAUACCCUGGCGUAAUACGAGCUGUGGGGUCUGUUAGGGUUAUUAAUGCGGGACAUAUAGGACAGAGGGUACAUGAAAAAAAUUAAUUUCCACUCUCUCCCUCACCUAAUUCUGUACACAUGGACCGGCGCUCGUUAAUGACGGAUGAGAGUGAUUCAUUUGAGUACCUACUUAUGUGAGACUCGGAUAGUUGCAGAAAAAAUGUUUCAUGAUACGUGGUUGAUCCUUAACGAGAUGGUACAUAAAUAAAUACCUACAAGGCUACAAGGGCAGGUCUUAGUGUACUCCUACUUAAAUAUCCUGGUUAAGUAAAUGCGCCAUUAACAUGCUGGUUUACUUAAUAUCCUGGAUACUUAGGAGUGUAGUUCAGGUGCCUUUCCAGGAAGUUUGCUUAUUAUCCUGGCUAUAUCUCUACUCUCUACCUAAUCUUUAUCUUUACCUCUUUACCUACUAAUAAAGCACCGAUGGCUUCUGGUCGUACGUCGUCGCGCGCGAUUUUGCGAAAACCCCCCUCUAUUUCUUUGAAAUCAACCCGCAGUCCCUGUUUAAGUGACACCCUGGAAAAACGUUUAGUUUUUGCAUAAAACCCCCUGCAUUUGUUACAAACACAAACUGGUACUCCGUACAUGCGAGAUAAAAGAAAAAAAGAAACAGCCAUGACCCGUCCUCCUCGGCCAUGUCUGCCUCCCGAUCCCACCUCCAGCCCGCCGCCCAUCCCGCCCCACCGUGCCCGCAGGUCGCCGCCGUGCGUCGCCACCGCCUACCCCGCUGGCGGGCCCAUCCCUAUCUCUGGAUCGAGGUGGGUCAACGAGUGUGUGGGACGACGGCAGGCGGCUCUCUCGCUUGAUCCGAUUGAGUGAGGUCUGCACAGGGUGGUGGCAGACGAGUUGGAUGCGUGGAACGACGACGGCGUCCGGAUCCAGGCGAGCGGCAGAUGGACCUUGCAAGGCGUUGGGGUUCUCCUGGGUGGCGCCAUGGUUGCGCCGCCGUGCUCCUCAAAGAAAACGAGGAAGCAUGAGGGGGAGAGAGAGAGGGGAAAACCAAGAAGAAGGAGAGAAACGAGAGAUGGCACGGCAUGGCGAGCAUGGCGGCGAGAACCCAAGUUGCUCCCUCCAGCGUGCCCCUCCAUGGCUCCCGCACUUCUCUGUGAGGAUUAGAACUCAAAAAUAGUCCCACCUCGCUCAUGUGCAUCCAAUCCAAUCAAUUUAUAUACGCGAGCGACUUUGCCGCAUCAGAAAUCAACCAGUGAAGGAGGAACAGAACGAAGGAGCUUAUAAUCAAAGAGGGAAAAGAGGGGAGAAUACACGCAAUCCAUAGUUCGAAGGAAGAACUCUGAAUCAGAUAAGCGCGCAAUCAGCAGCUAACAAAACAGCCAUAGGUCCAAACCAAAUCGGAUCAAUCGACAGGCGACGGCCUGGGAAAUCAGAUCGGCAGGUCUGUCCAUUGAAUCAACAACAUCUGUAAAAAAGCAGAUGGGGAGGAUUAAAACAAGCCGCAUCAAAAUGGGAACGGAGCGAAUCCGGGCAUGGUCACCACCGCGAGCUAGGCCCCAAGCAAGGCGACUACAAGACAGUGCCCGGCCCGGGGGAGCACGGCCUGCACGACGGACCUGGCGCUUCGCUCGACGGACAGGACAGGGCUAGGCCCCAAGCAAGGCGCUUCGCCCAGCUCCGGCGUCCUCUCCUGGCACCGAGGAUCAUCAGGGCGGGAGGGAGGAGUGUUCAUUGGUUGUGGAAGGGGUUAUGGCUGGAGCAGAGCACCACCAGGGUGUGUGUGGCUGCAGCACAUCGCGCGUUGGAACGGGGGUAGGGGCGGAGAAGACGAGCCAGCGCUCCUCUGGUAAUGAGGACUCCACGCAGGAUAACUCUCGGUGGGGAUUCUUUUGGUGCUGCUUUUUUUAAUUUAAUGGCUCCACCGACCAGAAGCUGCUGGAUAUUUCCAGGUGUAUGUGCUACCGAUUGCAAAAAAUAAAAUCCUGAAUGAGCACCUUUUUUUAACAGAACAUAAUCUUGAAAACCAAGCAACCAAUAUUUUCUAAAAAAAAAUCAACAUAGUAAUUGAAUAUUAACAAGAAAAAUUAUAUAUUAACAAUCUCACUUGAAUGCACCACUACUCUUCCACCAAAAAUAAAUUCAUGCCUUCCACAUCUUAUGAACACAUUAUCAGAUACAAUAAUGAAAAGUGAGUGAAAUUUUAGACAAGGCAUACACGGCGUGGCCUCCACAUAAAAUUUACUAGAAUUUUUUUCCUUUUUAUGUUGAUGAUGGGGAGUGUGUGAGGUUCGAUCUUUGGGCCAAGUUCAAAUAGUGCAAAUGAAAAAGAAUGGAACAUAAUCUUGCAAACCCAGGAACCAACAUUUUCUAUAAAAAAUCAGCAUAGUAAAAACCUAUUUGCUUUCGAAUAUCAACAAAAAAAAAUGUAUAUAAACAAUCCCAUUUGAAUGCACCACUACUCUUCCAUUCAAAAUAAAUUCAUUUGCAUUUAAAUCUUUUAAAAAUUCUAAGAAAAAACUUUUGGAUUAAACAAUUUCAUCAUCUGUAUAUCCCACUAAAAACACUUACAUCAUUCCUCUUCCACGCCGAUGAUAAUGCCAAGAUGAAGGAGAAGCCAUCAAAGAACAUCCCGACGAAUUUCUCAACUUUAUAGUAUGUCUGGGCACUAACAAUCCUUUUUUUAAGUGCGGACACAGAGCGUACGUGUUUUUUUAAGAUAAAGAGUGAAUUUUUCUUGCUUUCCAAACCUUCAUGCUUUUAAAUAUGUUCACGCUUUUUUUUAAUGCACAAAACUCCAAAAAAAUUACUCCGAAAAGUGAUAACAUUAUUAACUUAUUACCGAUGUUUAUCAAAACUGGAUAUAAGAUAUGGCCCGUACUGUCAUACGGAGCAGGUUUUACGAUAUUUUUAGCCCGUUGCAAUGCACGGGCAUCUGUACUAGUUAAUAAUUAAUAAUUAAUAAUUAAUAAUAAUAAUAACUAAUAAACCAGCGAUGGCUUCUGGUCGUACGUCGUCAGCAAUUUUGCAAAAAAGCCCUUAAAGGUUUUAGUAAUCAACCCGCAGUCUGACCGUAAGUGAAAAAACGUUUCGUACGCAGCCCAGACUCCGUCGUUAAAAUUGCUGCCCACGGGAGAACGAGGGUUCCUCCGCCGCUGCGCCCCACCCCCUGCUCUGCGAGAACGACGGUCCCUCCGCCGCCGCGCCUCCAUCCCUUGCUCCGCGGUGCCCGUCCUCGCUCCCCGGCCCCCGAAUGCACACAAGAUCGACAGGAUCCGCUGCAUCCCUCACAAUUUUUUUCCAGAUCGAGAUCGAUGGGGAUUGACAGGGGCGACAGCGAUGGGGAGUUGGAUCUGUGUGGCGGUGUGGUGGGAGCGCGGGGAGGGGCGCUGUGGUGGUGGAGGCGACCGGCGCCGUAGAUAAGCGCUGGGGAGUUGCCGAUGCAAUGGCCGAGCGAAGGGGAGAGCCGUCGUGGUGGACGAGAAUGACCACCAUGGAUUCCUCGCCCCAAGUCAUGAUCCAGUUGCUGCCGCUCUUCGAAGUCAUCUGCUCCAUCACAUCGGCAACCUCACAGGUCACAGCCUCCCAUCUGGAACCCUGAUGUCGUUUUAGUUGCCGACACUAUGCAACGGUCCUUUUUAGUGCAAUGCUUGCUUAGCACUAAUAGGUAGAACAUUCAUCAAUCAAGCGCAUGUACCAACAUGAUGGUAGAUUUUUUAUUGGCUCUUCUCUAAUCUGCAAGUCAUAUAUUGUGGCAGCGCUGGGUAGAUUCUUAUUGGCCCGUGUUGUGGUGAAAACAUGCUGUGGCUGAUCGCUUCAUUUGCUAACAUUGAUAUAUGUAUGCUGCUGAUGGGUCCUGAACUCCUGAUAUACACUGCCUAUUGCUGCUAAAAUUAGUAUUGCUACUCAAUUUGAUAGGUAAAGUGGUAAUGGAUGGCGAGAUUUUGUAGUGCUCAUAUGCCAGUUAGUCAAUUGUCCUUUCUGUGCUGAAUUAGAGAAUAUUGCCCAUAUGUUAAUCAGCUGCUCCUUUGUAUAGUUGUCAGUUUAUGGCUCUAGGUGUAGCUUCAUUUAUGCAUAUUGGUAAUGUUGUGUUGAUUUCUUUUGGGCGGAGGUUACUUCAUCAAUGAGGGGCCGGAGGGAGAGCUUGGCAGGGCGGCAUGACGGGCUGGUCUGCACCAGCAGAACGGAGGGAGAGAUUGAAAAAGAGUGUCUGCCUGCAGUGGCACGGAAGAAGAGUUCGAAAGCAGCACGGGCGGCUGCUCUGCGGCUGGUAUUGAAGGUAGAGCUUGGCAAGAGAGAAUGGGAGAGCUCUACUGCCUCGAGCAUCGCAUCCAGCCCCAAUGGCAUCAUGCCCACUUGCCCGGGUAAGCUUCUUCUCUGUUCCAAUUCUUGCACUUGUUGGUUUUUUACUUUCAGAGCUCUGGGAAAUAUCAGAUGGUGUGUGUCUUCUUUGAUGGUACAAGUAUUUUAAACUGGCACCGUCUGAUAAUAUAUGAUUGCUAUAAUGAACAAAGGUUGUAUUUUUUAAUUGAUUGGUACGCAAUUGUUGUCUUAGUCACUUGCUCAUUUCCAUUCUUGAAAAUGCAAGAUUAUUAAUUUCCUUAUAAGGAUAUAUAAAGAUAGAGGCAAUCUUUUUAAAACUUUUCUGAAAUCUGAUAUAAAUGAAAAUGUCUGAUAUUCAAAUUAGUUAGAUUAGUUUCUGUACUCCUAGCAGUGCACCUAAAUUUGAGUACCAAUGUUUCAGGGUACUAUUUUGUUUUUUGAGAACCAAGUAAAAGACACAGUUCCAGUGUGAUCAGCUAAGAGUUUUUGUACACAACAUCGAUUCUAUUUUUCUCAAACCAUUUAUUUUAGCUUGGAUAAGUGGUGUUUUGUUGUUCUACGGACUGAAUUUGUUGACGAACAUGGCUCGUGUGUAUUAAUUCAUCAAUGUCUCUGGCUAUCCUGCAGUACAAGGCAGACCAUAGAUUCCUCCCGAUGAAGAUUGAUGUGGCGCGAUGGAGAGCUUGGUGUGUGCGGCCUGCUGAUGGCGCUCGGGCCGAUGGUGGCUUAACAACGCAUGUUCUCUUAUCGUCCUCAUGCUCUCUGCCCUUAAUUUUAUCUCUCCGAUUCUUCUUUGGUUACAUGCACAUGUGAUUGAGGCAGGACAACAGGAGCAGCAAGAAGCAUGGACAACUAUGAGCUAGCUGCUAGCAGUGCCCCCCCCCCCUCAUGUACAUGGAUUUGUAAUGGCCAAGGAACACUUUCGAUUCUUUCUUUAGUGUUUUCACUAUCAAUCCAUAUUUGGUGAACUUGUUCUACUGUUCAUGAGCCUCCGCCCAGAACCUGUCUGAUGUCAUGCGUACGACGGACUGAGACACGUUCUAAUUUUCUGGUGAAACUCUUACCUCUAUUUAGAAAAUCCAAAUGAUGAAACAAGUGUAUUCAAGGUUGGAUCUGCACCUUAAACAUGUGUACCUGAUGUUCCAAGCUGCCGGUGUUCACAGCUAAGGAGUAGGCAAGGGUCCAUGGUUCAUUUGAUUUCGUGGGUAUUAUCCAGUACAAUGCGAUCUACACUGAAGCCGAUCUGAGCCAGGUGGAACAGAAGUUGAUAGAUUAUUCUGGCGACAGGGCUUCAAUAUAUAUAUCAGUCAGAAGUCUUGCAAUUUAACCAGUUUAUGCCUGAUAUUUUUGUCUCUACAUUUAUGUAGUAAGCUCAAGGCAUCAGGUACGCUUUACAUACAAGGUCUCGUUCAGUUUAGUUUCCCAUGUAGUGUUAAAUUCUGAUGAACUAUAUUCAGUACAAAUUGUAAGCUAAAGCAGAUUAAAAAGAUAAUAAAUAUGCUCAAUCCAUGUUCAGUUGCUAAACUGAUCAGGAACUACACUUCAAAGAGCUAACUGUUCACAAUAAAAUAGCCAUAAUUUUGUCAGUGUUUAGGGUAUUCAUCCACUCAGUGUCAUGUUUCUGAAUUUUGUGAUCCGGAAAACAUUGCUGGUCAUUUCAUAGUAAGAUUAUAGAGUUGUUCUCCCUUUAUUUUGCAUAUAUACUCACUUGCUUAUAGUAAAUAAAUAAUUAAACAGUCGGAACUGGUAAUUUCAAGGAAAGAAAUAAGAAUCUCAUGGUCUUUGCUAUUGCACCUGUACUGGAGAUUGGUCUUUCAGUCUCCAUGCCAAUCCAUGUCUAGCCUGACUGGACUCUUCCAACUUUUGUCAAGCUACGUUCCAAGUUUCAUAUUUGAAAUAGCUUAUGUUUUAUAGGUAAAGGCACACAAGUUUGCUGUUCAAUAUGACCAUCAACUUAUUAACAAUCUGUAGAACAUCAGAAUACUUAUAUGUUUCAGUUUUUGUAAAUGAUGAACAACAAUAUAAUUUCAUGCCUAAAAUCACAGCUUGGGUUAAAGGCGUGUGAUUUGUUUUCCUCCCGUUGCAACACACGUGCAUUUUUGCUACAUACUCUCUCUGUAAAGUAGUGAUCUGAACGCACUUAUAUUUCUUUACAGAGGGAGUACUUUCAUCAGAAAAAAAGGAACGCACAGAUAUUUUAAUUAGUUUUCUUUCAUGUUGGCCUUAACUAACAAACAUGUUCUCAGCAAUUUCUCCACCUUUGCCAUGGGAUGGGAACCAAGCUUACACAAUAGAGGCUAUUGAGUUGUAUUGUCAGGUCUGUUUACGUAUUUUGUAUUUUACUUGAGAGUGAACCUCUAAGGCUGUACCUUCUUUUAAGUGCUAGCACCUAGAGAUGAUUUGAAUUUUCCUCUUGUAAAUGUCAUGAGGCAUGAGCCACAACCUCUCCGUAGAACAUUAAAACAAACAUUGAUCUCCCUGUCAUGAGGCAUGAGCCACAACCUCUCCGUAGAACAUUAAAACAAAACAUUGAUCUCCCUGUGGGUAAACAAACAUUGACCUUUUGAUUUAUUUUUCCACUAGACGAUUGUGGACCAUGUGCAGAAGGAGUGUCCAUUCAAGCACAUUCUAGCAGGAUGGUGUGCAAGUUCCUUUUUUUCUUAAGCUCAGGUUCCUCUUUCUUGCAUGAGUUAUUCUUAAUUAUUGAGUUGAUUUGCAGGAUUUACAUCAGAUUGGCACAAUUUGAUGAACUUGAAUUGUUUUAUUUGGCCAUUAUAUAUUUUUUGAGUUUUUUUGUUUGCCCGUUGCAACGCACGGGCACUUUUACUAGUAAUAAAAAUAAUCUUUCCCUACUAAUAAAGCACGGAGUGCUUCUGCCCGUAUGUCGUCGUCACUUUUGCAAAAAAGCCCCUCUAUUUUCAAGAAAUCAACCCGCAGUCCCUUUUUAAGUUGCUAUCUCAGAAAACGUUUCGUUAUUACAAAAAGAACCCUGCCGUUUUGAGAAUUCAACCCGCGGUCCCCCUGGAAAGAAAAAAAAACCUAGCCACACGAACGACCCAUGAACCCCAAUCUCAUCCACCUCCAGCGCCGCCACGCCCUGCAACGCCGCCGCGCGCCGCCGAACUCCGCCCCGCCGGAAUCCGCCGGAACUCGACCCGCCGUCGCGCCGCCGCUCAAGCCCAGCUUCUGGAUCGGGUCAACGCGGUGGCUCGAGCGGCUGGGGGCGGCGCGGUGGCUCGAGCGAAGGCGGCGGCUGGAGAUUGCAAGGGCCGGAUUCAUGCGCGGCAGGGGCUGGGGAGGCGUAUCCGGAGGCGGGCGGCGAGGCGGGGGUCGCCGGUGACGACGACGAAGGCCGGAUCGUGGCUUGCCGGGCGAAAGGAGACAGGGAGGUGAGGGGAAGGAGAAGGAAGAAAGGAGGGACGGUGCGGCGACCUAGGCAGGAGCUCGCCGGAGCCGGGCGACGACGGACGACCGCGGGAGACAGGGGGAUCCGACGUCGUUGCUACUGCCUCCCUGGUAUUCCUCCUCUCACAUCUCCCGCCUUGACGUCAUCUGCUGCGCCGCCCAGGCCUCGACUCCACAUCACCGGCAUCUCCAACUCAGUACUCCUGCCACUGCACCCAGCGGCUCGUCGCCAUGACCGGAUCCGGCAAGGUUCCUCCAAUACCCACCCUCUCCCUCAUGCCACACAUGCUAUUUUACUUGGAAAAGCCAUUGCUCACGUUUUGGAUUUUGGCACUGCUCUGUUGUCGUGCUUCGCUUCAGUUCUUUGUUGGAGGAACUUUAAUUGUUUUCAGUGAGUAGUGCUUCUAUAAGCAAGGGAAUGAUAGAAUGAUGCACGAUUCUGCAGGUUAGACGAGCCGCUGACAAAGACAGGCCUCUAUUCUAAAUUUUUACUUGCAAAGAUGGACCAUCAGCUACAUAAUAUGUUGGCUAAACUCUCACAGGUCGCUAACAAUUUUUAUUUAUUGUCAUCUUGGUAAUUGGCAUUGGUGGUAUUGUCUUUUGGUUCAACAGAAUGUUGUUCAAGUGAAAAUGCAGAGGAACAUGUUGAACAAAAGAUGUGGUAUAAAAGGGAAAGGAUAGCCUAAACAGUACAAUGAUGCAAGUUCAGAUUUCAUAUGCUGUCUUCCCUGCCUCAUGAAUAUGCUAGCAUGGUUGUCUUCUAGAUUAUGCACAUGUCUUUGUUUUCCAUAUACUAUCGACGCAUUGUGUAGUAUGUACUAAUUCUAGGGAGACUGAUCUCAUACUGUUCACUCUUCAGAAUUAGUAUUUAUAAGUUUUUGUGUGGUUUUAGUACCUCAGUUAAGAAAUAAACAUUAGCCUUCUCUAAAGAGGUUUGCUGCCUUGCUUUUUAUAAUUCUAUUAAUUUAUAUUAAUCUCCUUGCAUAGAACUUCUGUUGCAUUACUCCCCGAUUGCUAUUAGUGGCCCUGUCACAAGAGAUUGUUGUAAAUCCUCAAUAUGUGUUUGAUGUAAAACAAUGUCCAAUCUACUACAUGGUGUCUCAGUCUCAAGUUCAUAAUUUCUAUAUCAUUUGAAUUGUAUACAACAAGAUACAAAAGCAGUAGGUCUCCAGCUGGCACAAAAAUGCAGACUUGAUUUGUUUUAGUUCCUUAAUACAUCUACUACAACCUACAAGAGACCCUAUCUAAGAAAACAAAAUCAAGGACCAAUGUACUUCUGACAUUAUUUCUCAUUAAUAUCAAAUUAGAAUAACAUUGAUGGAACAUAUUCUUUUUCUCUCCUUGCUUGAGUUAAUGGAGUACAGUAUUGCAUUUUGCUGAGAUGUUCUGCUCAAUGCAGGUUUGGAGUCGACCAAGGAAGUCACAGUUUAAGAGCUCGAGGAGGAGGGGCGUGUGGAGGUUCCCGCCGCCAGUGGCUGCACUGCUGGUCUUCGUCGCCUGCUCCUGUCAGAUCCAGCAUGACCUACCCUAUCGGUUCUCCGUCGCUUCACUCUGCUUCAUGUGCAUAUGUGCAGAGAAGAUGACGACCCCGCCCCUGUUCUUCGCCAGCCACACUCUCCCUUAUGCGGUAAUAAAUCUCAAGAAAUGCCCUUUUCGUUUACAUGAACAUCAAACCUACUUUUUUGUUUGAUGUUGGUGCAUGUCCAGCCUGAUAUGUGUGUUUGGCUGCUGCUGUGCGAUUGCUGGCUGUGUUGCUACUUGUGGCAAUAGUUAUUUUGUUUAAGUAUGUGGGACGACAAUGCUUCUGUCUUUUGGUGGAAUCAUUUUCCUUUCAAUUUAAUUACCUGAGAAAAAAUUCUAUAUUUUCUUACUUCCCUUUCUUUGUUGUUUUCAUGGCUGACUAUUUGAAGUUAUCUGUUCACUUAAGCAGUUCUUGCCUGCGGGCAAGUUUUUGUAUGUUCAUCUAAUAAUGGAAAAGAUUCAAACCUUCAAUUUUGUAGGAACGAUUUUAUUGCUCGAGUAAGAUAUGUAUUUACCAAAGAACAUGAGAAGGGCAAGUUUUUAUACAUUGGAACUUUCAUUACCCCCAGUAUUUUAGUCCUUUUCCUUGCAUCUUGCUCCCAGGAAUCCUUGAGUGUAUAGGUUCUCUCCAUUGAAACCGUUUAGGUAGAAUAUACUUAUGGUGGUAUAGUUGUUUUACCAGUAUUAUAAUUCAGCUGUGCAAAAUUUAAUUGCGGCUGUAAGGAUUCAGGUUUGUCUCAUGGUAAACCUUAUCAGUUAGACCUGAUAAAAGUUGAAUACUGCAUCCAUUUAUAUUAUAUUCUGCUGAAUAAUAUAUCAAAUUAUUCGUCUCUUUUACGGCGGUUUGCUAACUUAUUUUGCAUAGCAUUUCUAACAGCAUCA